Molecule: long non-coding RNA, 71963 nt
Filed under: Solanum tuberosum (potato)
Lineage: Eukaryota; Viridiplantae; Streptophyta; Magnoliopsida; Solanales; Solanaceae
Description: long non-coding RNA (STUB_LNC004055)
Source: RNAcentral
UCACAAUAAAUCUAUUGUUGGCAAAGGUACUGUUUGGUAUGAGUUGUCAUAUGAAGAUGCCAUCAAGGAGCAGAUGCAGAUGGAGGCCCAAGGAUUUGUGCGGGAGUUGUAUGAUAAAGAUUCUGACAGCGACCAAGUGAAUACAGAUGAUGAAGAUGACGAGGAAGACUUCGAUUACAGCAUCCUAGGCGACCCAAGUGAAAAUACAACCAACCAACCUUAUGUCAAUGGAACUGAAUCUUCUCAGCUAUCAGAUGAAGGAAUGUUUGAAGAUUAAGUGACAACUAAGAAACUGAUCAGCAGCAAUACUGUAUUGAUAGUUUGUACAGCUAGUACAUUAAACGGAUGCAAUUUUCAUAGAGUUUUUCCUUAUGGGGGUUUGAUUUUGUUGCAUCUUUAGAAAUGUAUUUGUUCUGUGCCUUAGUAGAAAAGAAACAAUUUUGUACACUUAACAACCAGUUGGUUUUGUUAUCUUCAUAUUUUUGGUUCCUAAAAGUUAUGAGUGGAGUUUCAUAAUAUUAUUUACCUUAUCAGAAAAAAAGUUAUUGGUGCAGUUUCUUGAUGGAUUAUUGUAUUGCAAGCUAUUUGGCUGAUGCUUGAAGAGUUAUAUGUUCAACAUAAUCAGUCAUUUUUCUUUCAACCUAUAUUUCGUUUUCACCUGUUGAUGGCCAAUGUUACUAACAUUUGAAGCAAUUCAAGUGGUGGGGUAAGUUAGCACUAAUGAAAAUUUUCCAUUCUUAACUAAACAUAUUGUGUUAGAUAGUUAGAACCUCGAGUUAGUUUUGAUAAUGAAAAAAAAUCUUAAUAGGAAAUGUUUUCCCUUCGAAUCAACCAAUGAGAAAUAAAUCCCAGAUGAUUAUACAUUUGGGACGUUGGUGCUCUUGCCGUCCAAAAAUUAGAGCAUAUAUGUGAAGAUGCCAUCAAGGAGCAGAUGCAGAUGGAGGCCCAAGGAUUUGUGCGGGAGUUGUAUGAUAAAGAUUCUGACAGCGACCAAGUGAAUACAGAUGAUGAAGAUGACGAGGAAGACUUCGAUUACAGCAUCCUAGGCGACCCAAGUGAAAAUACAACCAACCAACCUUAUGUCAAUGGAACUGAAUCUUCUCAGCUAUCAGAUGAAGGAAUGUUUGAAGAUUAAGUGACAACUAAGAAACUGAUCAGCAGCAAUACUGUAUUGAUAGUUUGUACAGCUAGUACAUUAAACGGAUGCAAUUUUCAUAGAGUUUUUCCUUAUGGGGGUUUGAUUUUGUUGCAUCUUUAGAAAUGUAUUUGUUCUGUGCCUUAGUAGAAAAGAAACAAUUUUGUACACUUAACAACCAGUUGGUUUUGUUAUCUUCAUAUUUUUGGUUCCUAAAAGUUAUGAGUGGAGUUUCAUAAUAUUAUUUACCUUAUCAGAAAAAAAGUUAUUGGUGCAGUUUCUUGAUGGAUUAUUGUAUUGCAAGCUAUUUGGCUGAUGCUUGAAGAGUUAUAUGUUCAACAUAAUCAGUCAUUUUUCUUUCAACCUAUAUUUCGUUUUCACCUGUUGAUGGCCAAUGUUACUAACAUUUGAAGCAAUUCAAGUGGUGGGGUAAGUUAGCACUAAUGAAAAUUUUCCAUUCUUAACUAAACAUAUUGUGUUAGAUAGUUAGAACCUCGAGUUAGUUUUGAUAAUGAAAAAAAAUCUUAAUAGGAAAUGUUUUCCCUUCGAAUCAACCAAUGAGAAAUAAAUCCCAGAUGAUUAUACAUUUGGGACGUUGGUGCUCUUGCCGUCCAAAAAUUAGAGCAUAUAUGCCUUUUAUACUAACGGACAUACACGUGUCAUAAUCUUAUCCGUUGACCCGAUAUUUAUUAAAUAUCGGAUCGACGGAUAAGAUUGCGCCACGUGUCCCUAUUUAGUCUUCCGUUAGAGUGAAGGGGAUAUAUGCUCUAGUUUUUAGACGGCAGGGGCAUCAAUGUCCCAAAAGUAUAACGGAGGGUAUGUACAUACCAUUUACGAUAGUUCUGAGGUAUAUUUAUCAUUUUCCCCUUUAUAUAUAUAUAUAUAUAUAUAUAUAUUAAAAAGUACCAAAUCUCACUUACUAUAUUUAUCAGUUGAAAAUAGAUCUUAUACAAGAUAAAAUAUUCAUUUUAUCUUUUUAAUUCUUUAAAAGUAGAUCUCAUGCUAGAUAUAAUCAUUAUUUUCCUAAUAUUAAGAAUUUUAAAAUCCCACCAAUUAACUAUAUAGAGAUUCUCCAAAUUAUGCAUACCAACAAAAGAACUUAUUACUUUUUAAGCUUUACUACCCCAUCUCAAUUUUGUAAAAUAUAAUGAAUUAGUGUGUGUUGAUCUAAUUGAUUAUAUGUCCAUUAAUUGGCAUUAUUAUUGUUUUUUCAAUUAACAUUAUAAUUUAAACUAUAGAAAAAAUAGUUACCAACCAAUUCUUUUAAUGUAAGUAAGAAAAAAGAACUUAGAUGUCUCAGUCAAAGCAGAAUAUAUAAUGUCGUUAUUAAAAUUAAUUGAGAUGUUACCUUACAUAAAUUAUUUCCUUAAUUAAAUUAUAUAUGAUUUUGUGAAACAAAGAUAAAUUCAGUGUGUGUUUUAAAAAAAAUGAAUUAAAAAUAUUAAUAGAUUCUGUAAUUUUAUUGUUUGAUAUUUAAAAGGAAGUGCAAAAUCUAUUUGACUAGAGCAAAUCACUUAAUUAUUAUUUUUCGGUAAAGCGUAAGAUUUUAUUGCUUGCAAUUGGAUCUUGAGUGUCGAUCUAACAAAAAAAUCAAUUAUUGUCAUUUUUUUUAUUCGAUGGAAAAUUGAUCUUUUGUUUAUGGUGUAAGGAUCGGCAAUAACUCCUUUUAAAAAGAAUUGAUCGUCUACGGCUUUGAUUACCUUCAUUGGUGCUUUCAAUCAACUCAAACAAUAGGCCAGGAAGGACAAGCUUGAAGCCUUGAAGGCUUGUUAAGUGAACGAAGUGAGAGGGUGGAUGUAAUUCAGCUCGAACGAAGUGAGAGGGCUGAAAAGCAAGCUCAGCCUAGAGGGAGAGGGAGGUCAUUCAGACCCCGCUGGCUCUAGAACGGGGCAGCUCCAGAGGCGCUGCCGCAGGCGCCAGCACCGACAUAAAGUAUUUUUAGAUUAAAGGAAAACACGCUCCACAAUAACUAGAUUUUCAGCUUUGACAAUUAUUCCCCCAACUUCUUGAAUUUUGUGUCGUUGUAUGAUGCUAGCAUACAUCUUUGUUGUAUAAUAGAAGAAGCAUUAAUAUAUUUAUUGAAUCGGUCAAAAUCAAAUAUGUUUAUCCAACUUUCAAUUGCUAAAGACAUUUCUUUCAAUUGAGGAACAUUUUAAAUAAAAUUAUGAAGGAUAUUUCAAUAGUAAUAAAAAAAAGUUGGAGGGGAUCGAUAUAUAUUGUUUACACUAAUUAGAAGAUGCAUAAAUGCUAGAGCUGAAUUGGAGAAGUAUGAAAAAUAUUUCACAAUAUAUUUAACAAAAAAUAGAUUAUACUCUUAUAGAAGUAUAUAAUGCAUAUUGAUUGUGUUGCUUCUUUGGUUAAAAAACACGUGUUUUCAAUAACAAUGACAUCAUUUUGAUAGAAUAUACGGAAACAAUAAUGAUAAUUCACAUUAAGGUAAGAGGUGAGCAUAAAUUUAGCUUUUUUAGAAAAAAUACUAGAACAUUCUUUUUUCUUUAAAUUGUAGAAGGCCUUAAAAUUGAAAUUACAUUCAAUCUUUUUGUCUACUAUUAUUGUCAAAUGGAAUUAACUUUAAAAAAAUAUUUUUUUUUUCUAAUGUGAAAUUAUUUUAAACGAGUAAAAAUAUUAACUAAUAUUUUAUACAUUGUGAUAUGAAUAGGAAAAUGACGCAUUUAUAUAUUUGAUCAUGUGUAAAUAAAGUAUUUUAGAAAGAAAUCAUAACUAAAAUAAAAUGAAAAUCAAGCUAAAGAUUUAUAAAGAUGAAAUAAUUGUCUAAGUUUGAUUAUGUAUGAGAGCUUACUAAAAUAUAAAUAGGAUAAGGGUACAAAUUUUAGCAUUCUGGGAAAAUGAACAAAAUAUGGAUGAAUCUUUUUUUUAGCUAAUUAAUAAAUUAUCAGAUACAAUAUCUGUAAUAAAAUAGUACUAAUAUACAUGCAAUGCACGAGUAAAUGCUAAUGCACAGUUGAGCUAUCUUUAACCAGAUCAAAAACUAUGUACGUCUUACUUUUAUAUUAUAAACCAAAUAUUAAAACAAAUUAAAACAUUUAUCAUUUUACAACUUGUAAUUUUGUUUUUUAUAUUACAACACAAAUACAUAUUUUAAAACUUUGUUUUUAUUAAUACGAGAGAUUAAUCAAUUCAUCCCGAUCUUAAAUAAGUUUUGGGGUUCAACCAAAUACUCUGUAUCCAUUACUAAUAUAUUUUGUUAUUUAGGUUUAACAUUACACCUACUAAUUAAUGAUUCAUAAGAUUCUGUAAAUAAUUGUAACGUAAUUAAUUAACAAAGCCCCAAAAUUAGCUUAGUUGUAAACAGAGGAUUUUCCCUUGAUUUCAUCGGAGAAUUUGCAAAUUAAAACAACAGCCAUUGAUCUCAUCUCCGUUCAAUGGCUUCUCUCGCCUUCAAUUCCGUCGCCACCACCAAAUCCGGCGUCCGCCACCAACUGGCGCAUCUCCGUCUUCUCUCUUAUCCUUCAGUUUCCUUGAAAUGCCGAUGGUCAUAGUCCUUUGCUCGUGCCUUUUCAGGUAUAUCACUUUACAAUCCUUUCCUUUUAUCAUCCGCUGCUAAACUUGUAACUGUUUUCUGUGUGUGCUGGGGGAUAACGAGGUAGUUAUAUGAUCAGGUGUAAGAGCUCAGGUGGAGAGUACUGAGCAAGCUGGAGUUGAUGUGGAAGCUCCUGUUGUGGUUAUUACAGGAGCUUCUAGAGGAAUUGGGAGGGCUGUUGCUUUAGCUUUGGGAAAAGCUGGUUGCAAGGUCAUCCAUUCAGAUACUUUGUCUUUAUUUAGUUAAAAUAGCCUUAUGGUUUGGAUCAUUGUUAUCGAUUAGAUAAUUGUUGACUGUUUGGCCUUCAAUUCGUGAGUAAAUUUGUCGAUUUUGAUAGAUUAGGACUUUUUACUACCAAAAUGAAAAGGAAACUUAUAUUGCCUGGAUGAUAAGCUUUCUUUGAUACGUCAUGGUUUACUGGGAAACCCUGUGAUUUUCUUGUUCAACAGCAUCAAUUUUUAUAAAUAGAAAUAAUAAAGAGCAGUUUCAUUUUUAAGAUGCAGUGGUGGUUGCUUAAGUUGUAUUUUUUGGGCAAUAGCUCAAAAAGGAAGUAUUUGAAGUAUCUAUAUUUGUUUUUGUUCCCCCAAAUUCGCUUUUUGGCAGUGAUAUGAAGUAAUCUGGGGUUCAACUUGGAUAAUUUCAUGGUUAUUGUUAACCCUUUGCUUGAAUGUCCUUUUUCUGGUCUAUUUUUUCCACUGCUUUCACCUUUCAGUGAGACAUUUUAACCCAGGGCCCAGCCAAGUUCAUCAUUUCGUCUCAUUAUUCGUCUUUGAAGGUGGUAUAGGAUGCUCUGAGUUCCAAUAUCCUUAGAAACCUUGAAUAAUGCUUUAGGCCUGAGCUGUAUGUUAUGUUAUAUGUUCUCUUUAAAGAAUAUGCUUUAAAUCAAAAUUUAUGUUACAUCAUAUGUAUACCUGAGAAAUCUCUCACAUACUCUUUCAACCCACUUGAUAUUUGUUGUUAGGUCCUAGUGAAUUAUGCGAGAUCUUCAAAGGAGGCAGAAGAAGUUUCCAAAGAGGUGUGUUUCUUUUCUCAGUCGAAAUCUGGUGUGAUUUUGUUAUCUUACUAAAUUCCUCCAAUUCCAUGUGAUAUAUUUCCUUUUUGUGGUUGAAAGUUGAGACCAUGGAACUGUAUUUCUGACUUAAGAAUGAUGUUCGAAAGAGUAUUCUAGCACUUCUUUCACCAUUCCUAGUGCUGAAUGGUUCAUAUUGACGGUGGAUUUUUUUUCUUUUAGGGAGAAAACGAGUUGAGAGACCACAUUAAACAAAUGUCAUCUGCUAGCAAAAAUCAAUUUUAUAAGUUGGAUCUCUACCACGCCCCAAAACGGGAUGAGACGUGACCCGCACCUGAUACAUGCAAUUGGACUGAGCAAACUUUUUUUUUUAUAACCAUGGUGUGCAGCCCAGCUUGCACGCAACUCGACUAAUUCCUUGGGAUACUUGUCACCUUCCACCAGCAAUAGGUACUAAGUAACUUUGUCCAUCAAGGUACCUGUUGUUGGUGGGAGGUAUCUUGUAGAAUUAGUCGAGGUGCAUGCAAGCUGCUCCAGACACCACGGUUAUAAAAAAGAAAAGUAGAGAAUGUGUGGAAUCCUAGCUCACACAUGGACCGCCAUACUUACCCAAUACAUGGCCCUAACAUCAUGAACACAAUGCUGCCUGAGUAUUGGAAUACUCAGUAUACAUCAUAGCCACGAAACUCAUGGUGAGGCAAGAGUUAUGCAUAAUAAAAUAUUGAGUGCAAGAAAAAGAUAAAUCAAUUAUGCAAUUUAAUUUAUCAAAACAUAAAUGUAUACAUUUGAAUCCACUCAAGCAUUUAAAGUAGUCAUAAAUCUUUCAUGGCAAGAUUAGAAUUGAUCAAUUUUAGCAACAAUACACAUUCUUCCACAUGUGUUACAAUGUUACGAUAAUAUAGCACAAUCUUCCCAUGUAUGUUCCACUAGAAUUAUUACGAUCAUUAAAGUGUGACAAGCAUUGUGUUAAUUUGUAGUCUCAAUGUCCAUAACGUAGGAGUCUCAUAACUAUCGUGAUGUAAUGCAUCGAGAUACCAUCCUCGAAGUGUGACGUACCCUCCCCGCCAGAUAGACUAGAUGAAAUCAAUGAUGUAAUGCAUCGGAAUAUCAUCGUAGAAGUCUGAUGUACUCUCCUCGCUCGAUAGGCUAUAUGUAAUGCAUCAAGGAUCCAAGAAGUUCGAUCUACUCUCCUGACCUGAUAGGCUAAGUUGCUCGUACUCGGGUGCGGAUAUCCGAUGUGGAUGCGAAUCCGACCCUCGGAUUCGGCAAAAUCUAAAUUUUAAGAUUCGGGGGUAUGGAUCCAGAUAUGGAUACAUGUGUUGGGAUUCGGCUAAAAAUCCAAAAUUAUAAAAUAGAGUUGUAAAGAUAUACUAAAUUAUGAUAGAUUUUCUACAUUUUCUCUCCCAAGACUACCAACUUCUUCUUUCAAGCUCUUUGGUUCUUCCCCUAAAAAAAGAAAAAGAAAGCCAAUCAAGAUCUUCCACCAACUCUCCUUACAGACCAUUGCUACUGUCUACCAAAAGUCGGAACACAACCGCUUGAAUUCUUAGCUUCUUUUUGUUUGGCUUGAAACAUGACACAACGAAUAUUGACCAAGAGGAAAAGCUAAAAAAGAGAUAAAAGGACUAUAAUAUUAAAGGUAUGUCAUUGCUCAUGUCUUUUGUUAAGAAGUCCCACAUCGGUAGAGGGAUGGGAAUAAAUGAGCAAUUCACUAUAUAUAAAUAUGAGAGUACAAAAUAUAGAGAGAAACAACCUCAACCAAUUUACUUGGAAUACAUGAGAGGUUCACACAAGUAGUAACAUAUCACUUGUGACCCACAAAUUCUCCCCCUAACCUAAACUCUCAAAGCCCCUAGGACUACAUUGUGAAUGUUGAUUAAGUUAGAAGGAACAAGCCUCUAUUUAUAGAGUCCUAAACCUUUUCCUACAAGAAAAGGACUACCCACUCCUAAACCUUUUCCUAAAAGGAAAACCUAUUUAUGGUAAGAAACUUUGGGCAAAUAAAACCCAACAACUUUCCCCCUUGGCCUGAAUUUCUGACAAAAUAAAUUUGUCCACCUUCUUCACUUAAUCUUUAACAGCUUGCAUCUCCUCUCCAUAAUCUCCUCUGCAGAAUCUAUGUGUCUACACAGAGAACCUCUCUGAAAUAAUUUCUCCAACAAAAAUCUUCAUUACUGUCAAAAAGGUGCGGCUAGAACUACACCCGCUAAGAUGAACACCCAAUUUUUAACUUGGUUCAUUAAUCGAUUAUCGAACCAUUGAACCUGACUCCAUCAUUGAAUCUGGCUCUGAUACCACUUGUUAAAUUAGGUCUUAGGCCUAACUCACACCCCAAAAGCUAGCUCAAAGGGAGGAGGAUUGCCCAAGCCUUAUAAGGAGCCCACCCAUCUCAUUAACCACCAAUGUGAGACGUUUGUCAUUCUUUAACAUCUUUAAAUCUAUUUUAUCUUUUAUCAAAAUUUCAAAUUUCCCCCAAAUUCGUCCAUGAACUCUGGUCAAAGUAUCCAAUGUGGGUUGACAGAAUCCCACACGUAUCCGGCACCUGCACCAGUCUUGAGUUGACACAGGUGCGGCAGCAAAAAUGAAGAGUCCGCGCAACUUUGCUGAUAAGCAUAAAUACAUUGUCAUUUUUUCAAAAUCAUGGCUUGUAACUGAAACUCAUUUUCUGUAAUGCAUUAAGAUCCAAGAAGUUACUCUCCCGGCGAGAUAGGUAAUGCAUAAUUGUGAUUAUAUAUUCCAUUUUAUGUCAUGACAUUUUAGCCUAAUAUCCUUUCUUAAUUAAGUAGCAAUUUUCAUAUAUUCAAUGAAUAUCAAGAAAAAGGAGUACAAUGCUAUAAUCGGAAAUAUGCCAAGAAUCAUAUCAAUACAAACACGUCAUGAACAACAUUGUAGAUAGUAUGAUGUGCCACACAAUACUGUAAAGAUUGUAUAAGAGCCAUAGACACUUUUAUAUAAUUCAAGACUUAACCAUGUAGGUGCAUUUAUCAAUACUAAGGCCUAAGUCCCAAAAAUUCAAGGAAAAAAAAUAUUCUUCCAUUGGAGAUUGAUUCUUGUGUUUUAACUCUAAUCUAUUUCUUAAAUGUCUUAUGGAGUGUAGUCGCUUUAUUUUGAACUCAAAGCGACACAAUCCAUAUCCACCCAUUAUUCAUCAUCUCUUCUCCGAAAAUGAUAAUUUUCAUGAUCCAUUUCUAGGGUUCCUUCAAUAACUCAUUCCAGUUACAAAUAGUACUCAAAUCAUCCUCUUAACCCAAUACUUAUACCCAAUAGCUAUACUCUGAGGAAGGAAAGAGAAUACUUCAGUAACACCAUAAAGUUGGAAUGUAUUUGGGAUCUAGUUUUCAAAGCAUUUCUGGUAGGUGACUUAGAAAUAGUAACAUUAGCAGUGUAUGGCUGCAGGAGUGCAGCUGUAUAACACAUAAAAAAUUAUGGUUAAUCUUUUCAAAUGCUUACUGUUAUUUAUUAUUCUACUUUUGAUAACUGAAAUAUCAUUAUGUAAUUUUCCUAGAUGGUAAUUUAUUAAAAAAAAGAAAAAGUAACAACUGUUUGUGUAGACUGCACUUGGUCUCCUACCAACUCUUAGGGGUCGUUUGGUGUGAAGGAUAACACCAAAUAGUCCUGAGAUUUAAUUAUAGUGUCACUUAAUUUGUUGUUUGGUUGGCAAGUCUAGGAUAACUUAUCCCGGGAUAUAUAAUUAGUACUGGGAUAAGUUAUCCCUCCCCUUGGGUGACAAAAUAAGUAAAUGACAAAAAUAUCUCUUUAAACCCUAUUUAUACAUCACUUUUCACAUUCAUGAAGGGUAUUUUUGUAAACAAAUAAAUUCUUCUUAAAAUUUAUUAUUUUGAAUACAACAAACCAAACCCUCAAUAAAAAAUAAUAUUAGCAUAACUAAUCCCAUCAUAACUUGAAUUCAAACCAAACGAUUCCUUAAACUCUUCUCCAUGUCUUGAAGCAUCCACUUGACCUGUUCUUUCCAUAUAGUUCAAAAAAGGCGUCUCGCUUGCUAUAAUCUCUAGCAUUCUCUUUGAGAGUGCCUAAUAAAUGUCAAAUAAGGAGGAUACCAUUUCCCAAGGCUGUGAAGUUGCUCUAAAAUGUAACAGCAAUUAAUCGUCAUCUUUCCCUCUCAACUUUGAUUCUCUGAGAAAGGAGUUCUGUUUAAUAGUGGUCUUCAAUUCUCCAUCUUAGAGUACAACUUAUGGUAGCACUGGGUUAUGUCUUCUCUAAUCCCCUCUUCGCUGGAAGUUCAUGGCCAUCAUUGAUUCUUUCUUAUACGAUUGUAUCCCCUGUAAACAUUGGCCAUUGUUAUCUCCUUUUUUGCCAGGUGCUUGUGAUCUUUAUCUCAGAAUCACUUCUUGUGCUACAAGUAACUUUCCCAGCUGACCUUUCAAUUCUUCUCUUUGAAUUUUAUCAGCUUUUGAUAUUGUUUAAUUAAUAUCUUUUCUACCCCCCCCCCCCCCACCCAANNNNNNNNNNNNNNNNNNNNNNNNNNNNNNNNNNNNNNNNNNNNNNNNNNNNNNNNNNNNNNNNNNNNNNNNNNNNNNNNNNNNNNNNNNNNNNNNNNNNNNNNNNNNNNNNNNUUGCUUUUGGUUUUUUUUAAAUUAUUUCCUUUUUCCCCCCCCCCCCCCCCUCCAAUUCAAAGAGCAAAUCUGACAUGGUAAUUUCCACUUAUCACCAACUUGUGGCAUGGUCUGUUCGCUACCUCUUUCAUACAAUUCUUGACCAUCUUUUUGAAGUUCUCAUGGUGUAGUCACAUGUUUAAAUAUGAAAGGAAACAGUACCUCAUACAUCAACAGCAACCUAGUAUAUUAUUGGACUGUUAUUUGAUAUCGAUCUUGGCAGGGUUUGCUUACUUGAGCUCUAUAAUUUCUCCUCAUUUCAUGGAUAUCAACACCUUAUCCAUUAGGUAAGCAUAGGAGAUAUCUGAUCUGGUCCUGGUUGAUGAAACCAGAGAAUUCAAUCAAUACUAUAGAUGUUUCCUUAGCAAAUUUCUUUGCUCCAAUCCAUAUCUUAGUACAGUAAGAUCAUCUGCAAUCACCAAGGACAUGACCAUCUUUGUUGUGUCAUGCAGUUGUCUUUUACCACUUUCUAUCUAUCUUCGUCUUACUUUGUCUUCUCCUCUGGUUGAUUGACAGAUCGGGCAUGGGGUGCAGCUAAUAGUCCCAUGGUCCAGCACCUUUUACUAUUUCUCAGUUCCAUUGUAAAUUAUAAUCAGUUCUUCUAUCAAUUUAGAAUUUGGUAUCUCUGAGUCGGUCUAAGAAAUUGUUGCGUAGAAAAUCAUGCUAUCUCCUCCAUCUAAGUUACUUUUUUCUUUUCCAUCUGUAAUCAACCAUAAAGUCCAAUUUCAUGUUGUAACUGAGAAAUUCCUGUAAUUAGAUUGUCUUACUCACUUUCUCGAGUGUUCUCUGCUGUCCUGUAUCCUAUGAUACUUUCAGCAAACAUAUUUCUCAAACCUCUGCCGUGUCUUUCACAAUUUGAUCAUUGCUGCACACAUCAGGUUUGAGUAAAAGCAUCAGAAUGGGAAAUUAGGGGCAUUCAUGUAAAAGUAACAGUUUCAUUUAAAUUAAUUUUUAUUCAAUAUAGCCUUAAAGGAGCUUUUUGAUAGUAAGUUUCCAAAAAGUUUUCCAGGGAAUUUUUGUUGUGUGGCAACUUUUGUGCUGUUUUCCUGCCAACAACUGAAAAUGAUGCCAUAUGUCACUUAGAACUAUCCGAGAUUCGUUAGGUUUAAAGUGAGAAAACUUCACUCAAAUUUGAGUCCUUCCAACAUGUUUUACCCACUGGUGUUCCUUGUAUAUAGUUUCAUCUCCACAACUAUGAUAUGAGCUCAUGAUAGGUUGGAUAGCAAGUAAACAUUGUUUGCUAGAAAGCAUAAAACCAGAGUAGUAAUACUUCUGAAAUUGCAGAAAUUUAAGUAGGAAAUUCUUGUUUGGACUUUUUUAGGUCUUAUGGCAAACACAUCAUAUAUACUUGGAUGCCUUAAAAGGAUACUAUCAGUUAUACAUCUUCUGAAGUAAAGAGUAAGGUCUCCUAUAACUCCAGAAACUGGUAAGCCAUGGACAAAGUGAAUCUGUUCUCUGUUUUUUCAGAUAAAAUUCAGAAUUGUUGUCAUGAGAAAAUUGCUAGCAACUAAUCUGAUGUUCAAUACCGAAACCAAUAGUGUUGUGAGAAUACCCUUUUGGAGCACUUGUACUGGUUACUCCCUUUUUAAUGGACGGCUGAGUCCAAAGUCAUGUGAAGAUAUCUGGUGACCAGUUAAGGCAUGGUGCUUUGUUUAAUUAGUGCAGCCAGAAGAUUGACUUGUUCUUGUAUUUAGUAGCUGAUGCUACUAAAGAUUGCAGGACUAAGUUUUUUUUUGUGUGUAAUGGUAGUAAUGGUUACUGCUUGUUUGACAAAUGAAGAAAGCUUACCAGGAGUGUCAAACGACUCUAGUAUCUUCAGUCCCAACCAGCCACCCACCCACCCCAAAUGCUAUUAUACUAUGACUUAGGUUCUCCUUACCACAUGAAAGUACCUUUCCUUACCAAUUUGCCUUCAGAAAGAAAAAGAUUGAAUGUCAUGCUCCUAAAAUUGUCGGGGUUGCAUUGGAAUUAGGGAGAAUAGAUUAGCGUUGUUAGUGGUACAUAAUCAGGAAUUAAUUCAAUCAACAAAUUCCCCUUGCUUCCUGAGGUUGGAUUGUUCUGUAUUAGCUGAUGCUUAUCAAACUUUGCAAGGUUAAGUUUCUAUUUCAUGUGUAAAAACAGUAAAAUAGUUGCCCCCAAGGCCUAGCUCAAGUGGCAAAAGGUGGAGGAUUUGUGGCUUAGGUCACAGGUUCAAGCCCCACACCAUGCAAAGCAAAGCCCGGUAUUUAAGUGGAGAAGGGUAGAGGGGCGGGCCCAUUAUCCACCGAGUUUAGAAGGCUGUGAUUGAUCCAAAGGGCGGGUCACAGAAGAAUUUCUCGGUAAAAAAAAAAAAAAAAAAAAAACAGUAAAAUAGUUAAAUUUCCAUUCCUAUCAUUUAAGUGAUAUUUAGAAUGUUAAAGGCUAUCUCAUGGAGUACUUGUUACACCAGCAAUCUGAUAACAGCUAUAAGGUUCAUCAGUAGGCUGUUUGACAUCUUCCCCUAAAUUAAUUUUAAUUUCCUAUUUUGUUGGCAGAUUGAAUCAUGUGGUGGCCAAGCUAUGACUUUUGGUGGUGAUGUUUCAAAAGAAGAAGAUGUAGAAUCAAUGAUGAAAACUGUAAGCAAACUCCUUUCCUGGUGAAAUUUAUUUUAAAUGUAUCUUACUGUAGUUGUUUCCAAAUAAUUUCACCUUAUAAGACUCAUGUUUACAGGUGGUUGAUCAAUGGGGAACAGUUGAUAUCUUAAUAAAUAAUGCAGGUCGACAACAGUCGUACUGUGUCGUGUUUAGUUUACUAGAAUGACGGCUCAGUAGUUGUCGUGGUUUUCUUUCCAGGUGUAACACGUGAUACUUUGUUGAUGAGAAUGAAGAAAUCUCAGUGGCAGGAGGUUAUUGAUUUGAAUCUUACUGGAGUAUUCCUUUGCACACAGGUCUAUACAGUUGCUGUGUUCUUAAUUCGACCAGAACUUGGGUCUUUUUCAAAGAAAACAUUUUUUUAGAGAGAUCUUUUUCCUUGUUGCAGGCUGCUGCUAAAAUUAUGAUGAAAAAAAAAAGGUAAAUGUUUAGCCCCUUCCUAGUGCAAUUCAUCAAAAAAUGAUUUAGAGACGAGGCUAAAUAUUUAGCUAACUGCUGCAUAAAUUACUACCCGCAGUUUGAUUGGUGCCUUUCCAGUCAAUUUGAAGAUGCGUUUAUUUAUAUAAACCAUCAAUGCAUUCUUUUAUUGUUUCAUGUACUCUAGAAUUUUAUCUAGUAGACUUCUCUAAAUUUUUGUAGGGGAGAAUAGUCAACAUAUCAUCUGUUGUUGGUUUAGUUGGCAAUGCUGGGCAAGCCAACUAUAGUGCGGCAAAAGCAGGAGUGAUUGGGUUAACCAAAAGUGUCGCAAAAGAGUAUGCCAGCAGGAAUAUAACUGUAAGUGCUCCUUAAUCCGAAUUAUUAUUCACUUGGGUGAGCCUUUUCUCUUUGAUAAAAGCAACCUUGGGACAUUGGAGUGUCAACUACAAAGGAAUUAAUUCUUCCUAACAAGGACAAUCUACUGACUAUUUAUGACGUUUGACAAGUUAUUUACCACAAUCUUUGUUUUCAUCAGGUUAAUGCUGUGGCCCCUGGAUUCAUUGCAUCAGAUACGACUUCCAAGCUAAGUGAAGACGUUGAGAAGAAAAUUUUGGCAAGCGUCCCAUUAGGUCAGGGCUAAUCUCCUUAACUAUGAUUGACAACUUUAUCUAAUAUGUAGCACUCUCCUGCACAUCAAAUAUGGAAACGUAUAGAAAUCAACGUCUUAGACAUCUGAUAAUGUGGCACCUGUGCGAGUGUUGGGGAUUUUUUGAAAUGUUUCCAAAAAUAAUUCAAACAUGUUUUUUGGAAGAAGCUCUUGCAAGUUGAGAAACUCGCCAAAGGUUGUGCUUCAACUUGCAAGAAUUUCUUGUUUUGACAGUUAUUCCUCACCAAAUAAACACUUUCUGGUAAAAUUCCACUCUCUCGCAGAUGCCACCAAAGAAUCCCAAGUUGAACAAGAGUAAUAAUCCAAUUCCCAGUUUUUCUGUGCAUUUAUUGCAAAAUCUUGAUACAUCCAAAAUAGGAUAUUUUCUCCGCCUUAUACUUUCAUCCAGCGUAUAAAAGAGUAAGUAUUAUUUUACUGUUUAUUUACACAAACUGCCAGUAAAACGAUUUUGGAGUCCUUUUAAAAACUACUGUUAUUUUGUUUGUUGAUAAGUUGGGGCUUCAUUGAGAUAACACUAACGAACUAAGAUACUUAAAUGAUCAGAUGAGAGUAGAAAGUUUGUUUUGUGAUGAAUAAAUUUGCUCCUCUUCAAGUGUUAGUUUAGUUAUACAGAGUAUAUUUUCCGCAUGAUCAGUAAUAUAACCAAUGUCAUCAAUUUGUAUUUUAGGCACCGCAAAUAUUGACAAAUUUUGUUGUGGUGACAGGACGAUAUGGCCAACCAGAAGAAGUUGCUGGAUUGGUGGAAUUCCUAGUACCAAGUCCUGCAGCCAGUUAUAUUACUGGACAGGUUCUUACUAUUGAUGGUGGAAUGGUUAUGUAGAAACUUUCAGCAUUUCCAGUUGGUUUCCAUGACUUGGAUGACACUGAAAAGGUUGAUUAGCUAUGUUGGUAGAGAAAACUCAGUAGCCUAAUGAGCUGUUAGGGUUUUCAUCAUUAUUUUUGUCCAACUGUUGCAACCUGAAUUCUGUUGGAAUGGACGAUACACACUCUGUUCAGCACUACUUAAUAGGCUUUUAACAAAUGUGAAUUUUUUUUAUGGCCACUUGUUUCAGGGUACUGGGGAAGAUUCAGGCAAUAGCAACACAACACAACACUUGGGGACAGAAAAGCCAACGCACCUUUUAGCAACAUUUUUUCCUUUUACUAAACAGGCAGCAAUCUAGAACUAAACUAUGUAACAAAACUGUUUUCACCUAACCUUUAUCCACUCCCAAGCAGACAACCAACUUAUACACGAGCAAAAGAAUUUCAAAUAAAAAUAUAAGAUGACUGGCUAUGUUGGCCAGACCCGCCAACCAGGUCUCUUCUGAAGCAUCCAAGCUGGGGGACACUUGCAUCAACUUAAGAGACCCAAAGUCACUAGAAGGUCAUGACUUCUCUGUGUAUCCUAUCCCCCCUAAAAAAAAAAUCCAUAGUCCACCCUGGGACGAUAAAAUGAGAGUCCAAUUAAACCACAAAGCACCCUCAUCAACUUGACGAUCGGCCAAAGUACUAAAGAGAUAUCAAUCAAUCUCUCCUUCCUCUGGAUCAUUCGAUACGUCAGGGAUGCUCUGUGGUUCAGCUUCUUCUUCCUCCUCUUCAUCUUCAUCUUCGUCUUCUUCCUUCAUAUAUAAUCCAAGUUGCUCCAAUGGAUUACUAGUUGCCUUAAAUUUGAAACUCCCAAGAACAUUCUCAGAAUGACCAGGACUAGUCUCCUCAAUGAAGCUCUCUAGCUGUUCAUCUGGAGCAGCUCUGAACAAUUCCAGAUCUUCCAUAAAUUGACUGUUCUCAUUGAUUUCAACAGUCUUCUCCAUCUGCUAGCACAUGAUUUAAGAGUGUUAUAAAGUGACAGUUAAAAAGAUAAUCUCAAUAAAUGUAACCCCAUCUGUCUUUACCUUCUGGAGUGCCUGACGGGCAGCUUCUCUUUCAAGUUCUCGUUUCCUUUUGGCUUCUGCAGCAGCUUCUGCCUCAGCUCUUUUACGAGCCUCUUCGGCAGCCUUAGCUUCAGCUUGCAACCGAGCUUUCUCUGAGUAAGCAGAUAAACAAAUAAAGUGGUGGUUUUCAGAGAUGCAACCAAGAAACAAACCCAAAGUGUUUUCUCUGAAUAAACCGAUAAACAAAUAAAGAGGUGGUUUCAAAGAUGUGAUUGUGGACUUCCACACAUGCAACAACAGAAAACACAAACCUUCUCGCCUUCGCCUUUCAAACUCCUCUCUCUCAAGCUUUAGCUUUUCUGGGUCCCGCACUUCACCCUAAAAUUUUAAAAAGACUAGUUAAGCAAAACAAUAGUACACCUGGAUGAAUGGAACUAAAAAAUCUAACUUAACGCAAGCAACGCCAGCUAAAGUUUGGCUGACCUUUUCAAUGCUCUUCUCCUGAGCUUUUAGUAUGAUAUCCGCAAAGCGACCUCUUAACAAAGCUGCACGGUAAAGCUUCUCAGGAGAGACUUGCCUCUCAGGUUCAGCACUUUCCUCUAAAAGGUUACAGUACAUGAUGAGUGAGAUGAUUGCUGCAAAAUUAGUAGCAGACAUUUUCUUCAUCUAUUACCAUUGCUUACCCUCUCGAUGAUCAUCGGGCUCAGCAAAAUUGGAGUUCUGCUGAGAAGUCAGCACUGUUUGGCCAGCCAACGGAUCUGUAGUACACAAACACUAUAUCAGCACACAUACUGACCAAUAAAGCUAUUAAAUCUUUCCACCACCCACAGAUUUACAGAAAGAAAGCAGCAAUGAAAAUCAUGUCAUUUGAUUCCCACAGGUUGACAACCUGUAGUUUCUGGAAGGUCAAGCUCAUCUUCCUGCUCCAAUCUCGCCCCAGAAGCCGCUGUUGCCUGUGGAAGAACAAAAUUAUUUUAGAAGGCAAUAGAAGUCAUCACUCAAAAUAAUAAUAAUCCAAUAAGAGAACCAAAUAACUUAUAAAAUCAGACGACAAUAUCCACACCUUCUGAACAGUUAAGGCAACUGAAUCUUUAUCAGCAUCCGAUUCACCACCAGAUGAGCUUCCAGAAUCUGUACCUGAGAAAGAAAGGAGAUAACAAUUUUAGCAAGUAAAGAAACAUAGCACCUUAAGUUCACAGCAAAUAUGGCAGCAAGAAAAUAUCAACUUUCCAACAGUCCAGACUUCUGACACAAAAGCACAACCAUUCCCGACAAAUAAGAAUUGCAGAACUUUCAACUCAAUGCAAGCCUCCUAAUACAAGCAAGUUAAAAGGGCUAAUCGACCUAAUACUCUCAAUUAAUACGGGUAUUUAAAAAAAUCUCGCCGAUUGCUGGACAGAGUAACUUUUUUUUGGAUAAGCAAAUCUUAGAAUAUGACACAGGUACUAUCCAGCAACGUACACGUCUGAGCACAUAAACAAAUUUGUUACCAUAGGAAGUACAUACACAACAAUUUCAGAAUAGAAGAUCCAGAAACAAUGUUUAGAAUCUAGGAGGCCAAAUCACAAAUAAAGCAUGAUUAAAAACCAAGCAAUGGUAUUAUUGCCAAUGGAAGUAUGAGGCGGGAGAUUCAAGGGUCGGGCUUUCAUUGCCAAAGAUGAACAGAAAGCACAGUGGAAAAUUGCAAGGUUGUCAGAGUAAAGAAGAAAGUUAUUUUUUCACAUUAAUUCCUUUUUCAGCUUUUAAAAGAAGUCACUUCCAAGCAAGCAAACCAUAAUGUAUUAACUUCUGAAAAGUGCCUAUUGAGUAUUGAAAGACGCUAUACUUCGACUCCAAGUUCUACAGCCAAAAAAAAAUCACUCACUACCAAUCUCUUUAUAAAUCUACAUCUGCCAAGUUGUGGCACAAUAAAUUUUGAAGACAGAAAGCUAUCAAACAUCCAACUUCUAACAAACACUUUAUAUCCAUAGUAAUUGACAGUUCAAAAAGUUAUGGCAGAUAAUUAGCCAAUACUGCUAAUGUGAUUCAAAGACCAACAAGCCUCACUGUCAUUCAUAUAACAUGCUAACGAGCUCUAACUUACUAUAAUGUCAGACAUAUAUCUAGUUCAGCCAAACUUAUGUAACAGGGAGACACCAAAAUCCCCUCCCCCGCCCAGCAAAAAGACAGAAAAAAACAAGAAGAAAUAAUCCAUACCAAAAUAAUAUCAAGAUAACAGUUUCUAAUUUCCUAGCCCACGGGAAAAAAUCACAAGAAGUUUCAAUUACCUAGCCAGGAAAAAUCCUACAUUUUCCCUGGCCUACUGACAAUCAUGACUGGAGCAAGGUGCUUCAGUCUCAAAUUGUCAAAAGUGCCAAUGCCCAGUUCAAUUUCUAUUUAACAAAAAGGUUUGACAACACAAAAGAGCUAGCAGGAGCACAAAGUUUCUAAACUUCACAUGGGAAUUACUCAAGUGGUAGAGUUCAAAACUCAUGAGCAAGAUGUAAAACAAACUUUUUUCCAGAACUUGAAAUACGUUACUUCCCCAAACGAGAGAGAGCAAACCGGUUUUUUCUCUUCAUGUUUAUUUCUUUUUAUUCUUUCUUAUUUGUGUUACAACACCUUAAUUAAAUUCUAAUUCAGAAUUGUGAAAAUAUCCUACAAAUAGAAAUGUUGUUUCUACAAAAUGCUGCUAUAAGCAAAAAGAGAUUAACUUCCUUUCAAGUAAAGCCAAUAUAAACAUGUAUUUGAUGAGUUUUUAAUAAAGAAAUUAACAUCCUAUUCUUCUUUAGUUGUUCAUUUUCCCACCAAAAGUUCCUGCCACGGCAUCAGCCCAUCCUCGAAUUCCUGCGGACAUUUUGAGCCUUAUCUUGGAUAUUUGAAUAUCCUAGACAAAUCAACCUUCUUUCCGAUACCCUAAGUACUACAGAACGUUAAAAAAAAACAAGUGAAACAGGAACUGCAAAGUGAUAGGGAUGGAAUCUACGCAGGUAGCCUUUUCUUGUUAAGAAAAUGGAGGAAGGUAUUCUCAGUUUAGCAAAUGUGAAGGCACUCCUAAAUAGCAGCUACAGAGAAAUACAUAUUUGAUACAGACCAUACAGUGGGGAAACAUGAUCAAUAAAUUGGAGCUUGAGACAAUUUCUGAAAAUAGUUCUGAAUUAUCUUUUAAAAUGUCAAGAGUAGAAUGGUAUCAAUGGUGUCGGUGUUCAUAUGGAGGCAAUGCUAGGUUUGAUGAUGGUGGAAGAGCAGGAUAGGGUCUAUUAUGUUGCUGCUAAAAUAAUUCUAUGCACAAACAGAUCAGUAUGUAGGCAUCGAGAACAACUCUAGACCAUUAGUAUCUACACCAAAUUAAGGUGGGAGGCAAUUGUAAGAUAUUACAGUGGUUGUAGAUCUGUCAUCAAGCCAAUUAGAAACACGGGCAUGUAGGGUCUGAUAACCAGUUUGAAAUCUAAUCGUCUUGAGUUUUUAACAUACAUAACCAGCUAAGAGCAUCUGACUUUCAAACCCCUAAACCGACCCAUGGAAAAAGUUCUAGUUGAAGAAAUGAAUUGAUUAGGGGAUAUCAGGUAUACUACACAUGCAAAGUGCUACUGAAAAUGCACAAACAAGUAAAAAUAACAAGGUAAUAGGAGAAAACUUCUCUUCUCGGAUGUCCCAUUAUGCAAUGAGACAGUGAGCAUGUAUAUGGAUAAAAGGAACAAGUAAAUUUUUUAUUAUUUACCAUGAGUAAAUUUAUAAUAAGCAUACAAGAGAAAGGCCAAGUAAGGUAAGACAUUCUUAAUAGCACCAACCACUAGAUGAAGAGCCAGAAUCACUACUCGAACUACUUGAACUACUGCAUUUAUUGCUCCCGCGAGCUCUAUCCUUCUCUAUCUCCACAGGAGGGAAGCUUGAAACAGGUGGAUCAUUCCCACCGAUAUCCACUUCCUCAUCUGCCGGAUCAUUUCCUGUAUAAAGAACGGAAACACAGAAAAAAGAAAAAAGGAAUUAGAAACUAGAAACUUCAACAACCACACUAUAUAAACUCAAAGCUCAAAUUCUCCACAUCUACUGAUCAAACUCACCUUUGCAUGGCUGCAUGGAUGAAUUACUGAAUCCAGACUCAUUGUGAAGCUGUAGAACAGCAAAGAGUAUGACAUCAGAAUUUGCUUACAAAGAGAACUAAUGUUACAUACCAUAUGAAGUAACACACUAGGCAUCCACGUGCUGAUAUUUACCUCCAUCUCACAGGGUUCACCUUUAGCCUGAUUUUUCUGUUUCUCCAGUAGAUAAUCAUCCAAAAGCUUCCGUAGCUCGUACAAGAUAUCGUCAUGAAGAACAUCAAGAUCAAUCUCGAUCUCAUCUUCACUGACUUGACUUCCAUUGGAGCUUUUUUCUUUCAAGAAAUCAAUUAUAUUUUCAGGUAAUUCAGUCAGUAAAUCUUCAAGCUCGGCAGUGAGUUUAUGUUUUUCAACAUCACUCAUGACUCGCUUUACAGGUUCUGGUUUAACCCUGUUCUCCAAUGGAGCAAUUUUCUUCUUCUUUGAAGGCGGCAUUGCUGGAGGAGUAUCAGUCUCAGUUUCUAUGAUAACACUCGACUUAGAAGGUAAAGGUUCCUCUUGAAUAACAGGUAUCUUUUUUUCUAUUGGUUUCCACCUAACCUCAAAAAAUUUAAGAAGUGUUUGAGCCAUGAUAUGAACAUCAUUUCCUGGCGGAUUGUAUGUCAUUGCAUUUUUAAAAGUGAGCCGCACAUCAUCAGCAAACUGCAAAGGGCUCGAAUAUUCUCCCGAAUGCAACUUUGACCUGAUGGUCCCUAGGUCCAUUGGUUGCUUAAUAACAGUGAAGUAGUCGGGGAUUUUUAACUUUACGACAUCAACUGGAUGAUUGAAGACCCAACCAUGCUGAUGUGACAUCAGUCUGCUUAGCACUGUCUCGCACUGUUUCAUAAACAUGACCAUGCUUGUAUCUGCGGGUAUGGCCUGUUGCAUCGUCUUAGGCCGCUUAGCUCCGGGACCCUUAGUAAGAGGCCCAUUUCUCCCUGGGGCAGCCUUUUUCUUCCCAGGAGGAACCACUGCUUCAGCCAUAUAUCGCUGAGAUAUCUCCGAUCCUGAUCUUCUCUGCCCGUUGGUGCAAUUUUGAAUAUCACUAGCAGGUGAAAGAACCCCAAUAUUAGAGCCGACAGAAGCAAUUUUCUUCUGCAGUCCUCUGACUAGUUCAAGUUCAUUCUUCAACCUAAUUCCCAACACUUUUUUCUCAGAGCAUGACAUAUUGGACAACGACAUUACUUGAAUAGGUGCACCAAAUUGGUCAUGACCAUCAGCAUUCAAACAAAUGGAUUUUCUUUUAGGUGCACAAGAGUCCUCCGAUGCAGUCCUUUCAGUAUCAACCCGUCCGGAGCUCCCAAAACCUUCGGAUUCUGCCAUUGUCUCAACAGCAUUACGAUAAUCGGGCACCAUCCCAGGCAAGUAACCUUUAAAACCCUUGCGUGAUUUUCCCAUCAUAUCACCUGAAUCCUUUUUAAAGAACUUCCUCGAUUCUCUCUGUCCAAUGUAAUCUAUUGGAACAGUAGGUGCCAUGAGAAUACCUCCCCAAUUCUGUACAUAUCAGAUAUUUCUUUUCAACAUUUAAUCCGCUCAAAUUACACUAUACCUUGCUAGGUCAACAACAAUUAUCUAUCAAAUAGACCUCGCCAGGUCAACAAUUAUCAAAGAUAUCAAUAGCACCGGCAUAUGACAACUUCCACCGUUCCUCUCAAUGCAGAGUUCAAUCAAUUCGUCGUUUUUCCCCUUCGUUCAAUCUAUUAGAUUUUCCGUUAAAACUCAAUCAAAAAAGUCUGAUUUAUUCUGGACUAUGAAUUCAACAAACAAAUUGUGGAAGAAGUAAAAGAAUAACAGAUUUAUACAAACCCUAACCUCCAAUCAAAUUAUCUUCAAUCAGAAACAAACCCUAGAUCAAAAAAGAUCAUACCUUUAUAACCUCAAAUCAAAUUCUCCUCAUUCAGAUACAAACCCUAACCUCAAAUCAAAUUCCCUUAUCUUUCAUAAACAAACCCUAGAUAAAUUAAAAAAUUAAAAACUAAAAAAAGAUCCUACCUUUAUAAUUAAAAACCUACAAUGGUUGAACUAAAAUAGAAACCUGGAUCUCCCAACAGCAGAUAACCAAACCAAAUAGGGUUGAGAUCUUAUCGGUUCGGGUCAUACCCACGACCCCAAAUCAAGGAACAAAACCAAACCCUAGAACAAAAAACCCUCUUCACCGCUAAUAAAAGAGUGAGAUAUAAUUAAACUAUAUAUAAAAAAAAAAACACAACAUUUGAGGUAAAGCUAGAGAGAGAAACAGAGAGAGAGAUGAGAUGAAGAGAGAGAAACAGAAUACUUACGAUAUUUUCUUUGUUGGGUCUCUAUCUUUUUGAUUGCCACCGUCUACUUAAAGGCUGUUUUGCAGCCAAGCCCGCCGCUCAUUCGCUAAUCUUGACCAUACAUUGCAGGUCCUUAAUUGAUCUGACGGUUUUCCUAAUUUCUGUAUUUCAGACCGUAAGAUUCAGAUCUGACGGCUCUGAUUUGUUGUUGGACACUCUUUUCAGAUCUGUAAAAUUUAUGUUUUCCAGUUGGGUUAAUUUAUUUAAUCUUACGCGGCACUGAUUAAUUAAGGACUAAUUAAGAGUAUACGUCACGCGCUCCCGUGGAAAAUGUGUUGCACUUGCCAUAAUUUUGAUAAAUGCAAAAAAGGUAAAAAAAUAAAUGUUCUUUGAAAAUGGUUUAAGAUUAUGUCCUUUUUCAGUAUUUCAUUAUAUAAUUGUCCUAAAUAAUAAUUUUUGGGUUUAAAUUCUUCAUCACCAUUUCUUGGACCAUAUUUAUUUCUUUACAAUUAAAAUAUCUCUUCUUUUAAUUAAAUUAAUUAUGUGGUGGUAAAUAUGUAUCUAUAAUUAAAUAAAUAUUACUAAUAUAUGAAUAUCAAACUCAACUCAUAAAUAAUCUGAAUCAUUUAAAUUUAUUUAUUUGAUAAUUAUUGGAGUUGAAUUAUUAAUAAUUUAUAUUUGUUAAAGAAUGAAAAAAGUUGGAUUAAAUUUAAAUCUAAAAUUAAUUAUAGCUUGUUUGUAUCCAUUCAGAACAAAAAAAUAUUGCUCAAAUAGAAAGACAUUAUUAAUUUUCCCAAAAGGUGAACAUGGAAAAAAAAUAGUAUGGACAAAUAAUGUAUAAUGGUUUUGAUUUAAGCGGAUGGGUCUUAUUUAUGUUGAGCUUAUGUGGAUUACUAAAUGGACUGAGCGCACAAAUAUCCAAUUUUGUGAUCAAUAUUAUCUUUCGUUUGCCUUUUAAAUUUUUUAUAAGCUAAUUCGUUUUUUAAAGUUAUUUAGACAUAUUAGAUAAAAAAAAUUAAAAUUUUAUAUCAAACUUUAAGCGUUUUUAUCUAAAGUGUGGCUUUAUAAAUAAUUUGAUGUUUGAUAUAGUUAAUCAAUACUAAUUUCGAAUAUCUUUUAUUAAAGUUGUGAACUAGAUAAUGACAAAUUUUAGACAUUUUCAAUUGAAGUUUUACUUAAUUUGCAAAGGCUAAUUUCAGACAUUUUUCGAAUGAAUUGUAUGUAAGAAUUAGCUGAAAUAAUCAAUCAUAUAUGUCUAAAAUUUUCAUAUGUUUUGUGCGACUGUACAUGUAAAAAAUGAUAAGUAUUUUAUCCAUGUGUUUGAAUAUUUUUCAUCAAAUUUUUUUCCUUCAAAUUUUAACACACACAAGUCAACAUCUAAAUCUAUUUCAAAUAAGUCAAAAUAAAAACACAAAUUUCAUAUAUUAUAAAAAUCAAAAUAACAUAUUUAGUAUAAUCGUAAAAAUAGCAUCUGAAUUCAUAUAGAACAAAUUUCAAACACUGAUUUGUCACAAUAACAACAAAUCUAGUAAUUUAUUUAACAUUUUUAAAAUUAUUUUUCCAAUUUUGAAAUACAAGUGCAAUUAAAGAAUUUCUUAAAUUUCAAUCACGUGUGCAUGACUUUUUUUGACGAGGGAAAAAAAAAUUGGUAUUUGAAUUUCAACAAUUUAAUACUCCAUUUGAUCACUUUUAAUUGGCAAAUUCGAAUUUGGCAUAUUCAUUAAGAAAAUAUACAUUGAUGUGAUUAUUUUUUACUACACUAUCUCUAUUAAUUGAUUUUUAGUAUUUGGUUCUUGAAAAAAUGAUUUAACGGAUAAAUAAUUAAUUUUAAAGGUAAAACAUAUGUACAAAUAAUUGUCUUUUCAUAAUAUAUUAAAAAUGAUAAAUAAAUUGAAAUAUUUAUUUUUUAAAUAUUGAACAAAUUAAAAAUAAACAUAAAUAGUACAUAAUUUAACAAAUUUAUUCAAAAAUAAACUCAAAUUUAAAACAUAAAUUUCACGUAUUAUAAAAAUCAAACUUUAGUUGUCAGCUUAUAAAAAAAUAUAUCUAACAAAAAAGUGUAAAUAAAUUUGUAUGAUUCAAAAAAAUAUCUUCAAAGUAAACUAAUAAAAUUAUUAUUUUUUAUUUAUAAUUCUCAAAUAAAUAGAUAUAAAAUAAAUAAUAUGAUAUCAAAAAAAUAUUAAUAUUUAAUCAUGAUAAAACAAAUUCCAAGUAAGCGGAAGACAAUGAAUAAGCAAGUGACGUGUAGUCUUAUAUAUCAGCGAGUAUGUAAACGCCGUACAAUUUCGUGACGCGGCAAGUGGGUCCAAGUUGGGUAGCCACGUGCGCCAAUUCUUACUACUGCCGACUUGUUAUUGCCUUUUAUGAUAAUGACGAAAAAUAUCAUUUUGUGUAUUAAUCGAUUUGUUGUGGUCAUAUUGUUAUUUUAAGAUUUUUUUUCUAAUUUUAUUUUUAUUUAUCAUUUUGUGUACUACUCCGGUCACAUCGUUAUUUUAAGUUUUUUUUUUUCUAAUUUUAUUUAUAUUUAUUAUUUACUAAUUUUAUUUUAUCUUUUAUCAUACUUUUUAAUUGUACCUUUACCUCAUACCUUACUUCUUCUUCUUCUUUUUUUUAUAGUUUUUAUUAUACAAAUUGUUAAUAUGUGAUAUUUUAUAACGACGAAAAACGUAUAAAUGUGAUAUUCAUUAAAACAAUAUACAAUGAUACAUUAUGAAAUAAUAGAUAACAACCAUCCAAACAAAGUGUACGGAAAAUCACGUAGGAUGGGUCGGCCCUCCAAACUUUCUAUUCUUCUUAAACGACUAGGAUAAAUAUAUAUCAUUUAUUAUAUAUAUAUAUUAGGGAAAAAAGUCUGAAAUAUAUCGGAACUUUGACCGAAAUUGUUGUAACAAUACCAAAUUUUGGGCAGGACCUAUUACCACUGCACUAUUUAAUAGUGUAUUUUAAAAAUAUAUAAGUGUCCAGCUGGACAAAUUACUAUUUAUAAUGAUGCAAUAUUUUGAUGUCUUCUUUAAAAUACACUAUUAAAUAGUCCAGGGGGUAAUAGGUCCUGCCCAAAGUCAUCAAUUUCAGUCAAAGUUCUGUAUAUCGAAUAAUUUAGUGCUAUAUAGAUGCUUGUUCCUUUCCCUAUUUAGUGAAAUAUCAAUUUCACUUUAAGCUCCUCAUCUCAUGUUAUAUGUAUAACUUAUACUCCAUCUGUCCCAAUUUAUGUGACUUGUUUUUCUUUUAGUGAGUUCCAAAAAGAAUGACACAUUUCUAUAUUAAGUAACAAUUUAACUAUAAAAUAUUUAUUUUACCCUUAAUGAAAUGAUUUACAGCCACACAAAUUUCUAUCAUUCAUUUUGGACCACAAGUUUUUAAAAGUCUUCAUUUCUUUCUUAAAUUAUGUGCCGAGUCAAACUACCUCACAUAAAAUGGGACGGAGGGAGUAUUAGAUUAUAAGUUUUGAUUUUUUAAUUAUAUCAUCUUUAUAUUUUGUGCUUAGUCAAAAUCCUUUAUAUGGAUUGGGAUAAAGAGAAUACUAUAAAGAAUUUAACCCCUUAAAAUUUGUUAGUAAUUUUUAUUUAGAAACCCUAAUUGUAAUAUGUUGCAAUUAAACAUUUGAAUAUAUGAUAAAUUAUUCUAUUAAACACUUUUGACUCAAUUUUUUUUAAAAAAAAUAAUUAUUUAUGUAUCCUUAAAACAACUAUUACAUAAUAAGUUAUCUACGUAAAAUAUUUUAUUUACGUAUACAUACCCGUCUUAACUGAAACAUGUUUUUAGUUUUACCAUUUCUUAAAACUAGUGCGAAUACUUUAAAGAUGUGAUAUAUUUUUAAUUGGUUAUUUUUUUACAUAAUGGGUAUUAGAACAUGCAAAGAAGCUUUUUUCAAUUUUGAGCAUUAAGUACCCAAUACAAAUAUUUUAUUAUGUAUUUAAAUAUUAAAUUGAAAUAUAUCAUAAUUUAAGUAUUUAGCAGAAAUUUACAAAUAAAUUUAAAACUUAUUAAUAGUAUUACCCCCUUUAAAGUGUAUAUUAUCACUUUUUUUUUAUAAUGAAACUUUUAAAAAUUUGAAUUUAAAAAUUAUCGAUAUAUGUAUAUUACCACAUUUCUUUGUAAUGAAACUUAUGAAAUUUCAAACUCUAGCACACAAUAUCAAAGUAUUUCUAUGUUUUAGAUAAAACUUAUUCAAAAACUUAUUCCUUAUUAAGGAGCUGUAAACAUUGCUUAGUUUUGAAAUCAUAAGUAAAUCUUAAUUUUGUAUGAAAAGGGAUACUUGAGAAUUUCUCCCAUGAGUUUACUUAAAUGGUUUGAAUAAGGGGUAAUUAGAUAAAAUGUCCAUUAAAUUUCUUACUUAAAAUAAUUUAAUCAUUGUUUAUUAAAAAAAAACUCAACUAUACGUAUUGCAGGCAAAGUGGCUUAAAAGUUUUGAAAUAUUGUGAGAAACUCACUCAUAUCUAAAGUAGUUAUGAAUUGGUCGGAAUUGAAAAAAAGAAGAAGAUUAUUUCGUUGAAGAAGAUGGACUAAUACAAUAUAAAAUAUUGUAUAAAUUAUGUAUAUAAAUGUAUAUACAUUUCCAUUACAUAGUUAUAUGUCGUAUAUACACAUAUAUAUGAAAUAUACAACUAUGUAUCAUAUAUAUUUAUUAUAUAGAUAUGGUAACAUCAGUCUAUCAAAUCCUCGUUAAUGCAUAGAUUACACAUGUAAUUAGUUUUAUGAUUUCUUUUUAAUGACUGUGAUCAUCUAGCCUGUUAUAAGGAGAUAUCGAGGUGCUCUCUAGCUUUUACUCAUAUUAUUUAUGUUUGUCUAUGCUAAUAUUAACAGCGUUACCCAAAAAAACUAUUGACACAUUAUAUAUACAUGGGAACUUUCGCAAAUAGCCACUAUAAUAAACUUAAUUAUGAUCCAUAACUAUAGUUUGCAUAUUUACGGGUUGUAGCUACAGUUUAAGUUGUCUCGUUUGUAUAAUUUGCGGAUUUGUAUAAUUCACAUGUACAUUUGUACAAUUCAGUUAUUUUUGUAUAAAUUCGAAAUAACGAAUUUAUACAAUUACAAACAUAAGAAAUGUCUACAAUAAUAUAAAUUAUCUUAUACGAAUUCCGAAUUAUACAAACGUGCAAAUUAUACAAAACUAAAAAGCUGAGCCGCGUAAUUAUAUCUAAAAGUAUGUCGCGAAUUGUAAGGCAAACUAUAACUAUGUUAAUUAAUUAACUAGUAUAUAUUUGCUGCGUAAUUUUUCCUAUAUACAUGUUUUUUUUUUAAUUUUCUAAUUUUUCUGGCUACAUUUAAUAAGAAUCCCUUUGAACAAGGGAUAAUUGUACUAAUGGCAAAUUAUUAAUUAAAAUUAAAUGCUAUAAAUAUACUUUGAUUUAAUUGUACCCUAUAGCAAACUAUUGCUAUUUUCGCCACUCUCCCUGGUGGAAUCUCACUCGCCACUCUCAUUUGGUGGCAGUCUCGCUCGCCUCUCUCGCUUUUAUACAAACACAAAUGUAUAAAAAUGCGUUUGUGUUUGUAUAAAGCGAGAAGAAAUUGUAUAUAUACAUAUAUUUUCGUUCCCCUCUCGCUCAUCACUCUCCCAAAUCUCGCUCGCCACCCUCGCCUCUCUCGCUUAUACAAAUAGAAAGGAAAUGUAUAAAUUGCUCUUCUGUUUGUAUAAAGCGAGAGAAAAUUAUAUAUACACAUGCAAAUACAUAUAUCUUCGUCCUAUACACUUAUAAUUAUACAAUACAAAUAUUUCGCUGCCCAGUUUUCUUUUGCCUUUCUCUCAUUCUCAUUUUAUACAUACACAGAUUAUACAAUUGAUCUUUUGUAUACAACUACUUUCUUUUGUAUAUGUAUAGCGAAUUAUACAACAACUUUCUUUGUAUAUGUAUAUCGAAUUAUACAAUUGUUUUUUUUGUAUAUGUAUAGCGAAUUAUACAUAUAUAUGUUUGCUAUGGAGCGCAAUUAUGCAAACUUUGCUAGAGCAUACAAAUAUGAAUUUUGUGUUUGCUAAAUGUGAAAGUUGCUCUUUGAACAAUAACAAGGGUCGGAAAGGUUGGGCCUUGUUUCUGGACUAAUGCAGCAAGCUGUACUACAUCGAAUCGAAAAGCCCAUGUCCGUGAGAACAAAUAGAAAAAGCCCAUGUCCGUAAGAACAAAUAGAAAAGCCCAUACAUUUGCAAAUUGCAAGUCCAUACUGGUUGAAGCUUUACAUUUUUUUUAAAAUUCUUUUUAGAUUCCCUCAAUGCCUUCUGAGUCAAAAAGCACAUGCCUAGUGCAGUUUACAUCCCUGUGUGAUUUGCAUGCUAUUACACAGUGGAGGGUUUACCCAAUGCGCACAAAUUGCUCACCACAGAGUGCUCACUCGAAGGGCAGAGGCUGUAACAUAGAUUGUAGCGGAUGCUGGUUAUCCUCAGGUUUAAAAAAAGAAGAAGAGGUGUGUCAUUAAUAUAAUAUGUAUAUUCAUAGUCACUAGUUUGCGCUGAGUUUGAUUAGUAUUACUAAAUAUAAUGACAUUAAAUCACUGCUUAAUAUUAUUAUCGCUAUUUUUUUUUAUUAAUCUAAAUAUAAUUUUUGAUUAUAAUACAUGGUGAAACAAAUAAUUCUAGAUUACAGGUGUCGACUAGACGAAUCAAUGUUAGUGGAUAACGAUAGAGGGCUUUGCCAGCCAACUCUCCGCAGCCAAAAUGAAGAAAAACACCCAGUAUGAUCAAAUCCAAGAAGAUUGGAAGGAUCUAUAUUACUUUUUCUAUUUUAAUUUAUACGAAUUAUUUGAUCACUCACAAAAAAUUAAAAAAAGUACUUAACUUUAAAAAAAAUAAAAUUUGAUAAAUUUAAUGUUUUUAUUUAAAUACAAAUAACUAAUACGAGUUGUACCUUUUCAAAUAGAUUGAAAAGAAAAAAAGUCCACACAAACUAGGGUAAAGAACAUAGGAAAUUAGCAAAUAUGACUCUUUUAUUUUGCAAUUAAAAAGUAAUAUACUUUUUUCUGUUUUAUAUAUAUCGAAUGACUUCCAAAAAAUGAUCUUACCUACUUUUUACCCAUCCAUACCGGAUCCAAAGAAAACUCAAUUCCUCUUUUAUUCAGUUAUAAAAUAUGUUUGGAUCGAGUUUAAGUAAAAGAGGAAUUGAGAACAGAUCUAGAGGGGUAAUGUAAACGAGUAAGCUAAUAUUUUUAAAGCCAAGUUUCAUUUUUGAAUUAAAAAAACACAUUUUUUUAAGAAAUACGAAUAAGAUGUACAUACGCACCGUUUUGUUUAUACCAUCAAAGUAUACACUUUAAUGAUAUCAUCAAAGUAUACACUCUAAUCAUGAUAUCAAACCGUAAAUGGUACCGUACAAGUGAUCUUUUGUAAGGCACAUAUAUACGCACCGUUUUGUUAAUGAAAGAUUAAUUAUCCGCUUAAAAUUAGUGGGGUAUCUACUCAAUUUACAUAGUAUAUUUAAUUCGAGAGGCGACACGUAGUCGAAAUAAGAGAUUUGCGCAUGUAUCUAGAUCGCCGCCUGAACAUCAAUCAAUUGCUCCUGCCGCAACAAAGCACAUGGUAAAUCCCAUCUGGGCUAUACAACGUAGUUACCCCACAGUUUUACACAUGACGAGCGCCGUCCGUCCCUCUUUUAAGGGCUCCAUAUAUCGAUUAUCGAGUUGGCAUUACAUAAUAUAGAGAGAUACAUGCAUGCAAAAUGUAGUCCCCAGUGAACGACACUUGCAAAAGAAGGGGUUAAUUAUAUAUAUACCUGUCGCAUGAUCAGCAAUACUACUUUGGAAUCCGCUACUGUUACGUCUUUCAAUUUUUCUUACGAUAAGUCAAUAAGCAGAUAAAAGUCUUUUCAAGAGCAGAGCCGUGACAGAUUUUAUCAACAAUUCCAUUGGGCCAUAGCAACGAGCUCAGUGGGAAUGUGAAAUGAAUUCUUCCUCAGUGCCGUCGCCUGCUAAAAUCUUAAUUGUAAUGCUCUCUCAUCCGACACGUUAUCAUACUCAUCAAACUCCAGCAUCCUUUUUUACAGGUUACGUUGACGUGGAAGAGUAUCGCGCGGAUGAAAAGAAGAUGGUUCAUCUUUUUAUAAGAAUUUGAACAAUCUACUAGCAUGAUUUUGACUUUCCGACUCAGCAAGCUUUACAUCAUCUUUUUGAAAACAUAUAACAACAAACUUGUUUUGUUUCUUCCUUAAUUUGAAUUUAAAAUAUGCAUAUCCAACCUCUAGUAUGAUCUAGGAAGAAGUUUCUUUUUUCACCCCAUUCCACUAAAACAUUUAACAACAAACUUGUUUCUUCCUUAAUUUGAAUCUAAAACAUAGUAAGAUCUAGCAACAAGUUUUUUUUUUUUUUUUCACCCUAUUCGUAGUCUAUAUUGAAGAUUCGAUUAAAUUUAGAUUUUCACCCAACGUUUUUAGUCUAUAUUAAAGAUCAUAUUAAAUUUAGAUCGCAUAUUGUAAAAUCUAUUUAGAAAUAAGCGACCAUAUCCAUAAGACCAUGACUCAAAUUGGAGACCUCUUGUUAAGGAUUCCAACACACCACAACUAAACAAAUUAAUCCGAUGAUACGUGAUUGCAUGAGUCACAUUUCAAUAAUAAUAUAUAAUUAUAUAGUUUGAAGAAAUAUCACGCAGCGAAUUCCAUUCACAAAAGAGUAUAAAACCCAACAUACCUCGUUCCUUUUGAUGAGGAGAACAAUACCACCUUCCUUUUUAAUUUCAAAUUAUGAUAUAAUUUAAAACUACCGAAAUAAAUAAAUAUUUUUAUACAUUCUACCUAUCUUAUUUAAUUUAAGAACGAACAAUAUUCGGAGAGUACAUAUGUAUAUUUUGACAAAAUUUCAGACCACGGUCAUCCGGGGGGAUUUUAGUUUGGGCAAACUCCAUAAAUCCCACUAGUUUAGGUCCUAAUUACUAGAAUUCAUGAUAGUUUCGAAAAUUACUUCUUGUACCAUAUUUCUUCCUUUAGAUACAUGUAUCAUUACUCGUCAGAUACAUGUAUCCAACAAUUUUAAAAAUCGAGAUACAUGUUUAAUUAAUUCACAUGGACAAUUAAUUAAUUCUGGAAAUAUUAAUCAAAUUCCUUAAUAUAAAUCAAGGAGUGUAUCUUUGUUUAAUUAAUUUCAUUUUAUUACUCUUUAUAAUAAUAAAUUCAUUAAUAUUAUUAAUAAAAGACAAAAACAUGUAUAUCUUGAUUAUGAAAUUUGACUAAUUUCAACUUAUUACUCUUAAAAUAAUAAAUUCAUUAAUUUGAUGUAUUUAUUAUCAAUAGAUGAUAUAUCCAAUAAAAUAAACACUUAGAUACAUUAGUGUACGGUAUCUAGUAUUAAUUCACGUAUCUAUUUAUACGAUCUAAUAUUAAAUUCAUGUAUCUAGUAUUAAUUUGAUGUAUCAAGUAUCAAUUUCAUACGUUAUAUCCAACAACUUGUAUCUCGAAUACAUAUUGAUAAGGAGAUACAUUUAAUUAUGUGUAUCUAAUUAUGAAAUGUAACUAAAACACAUGAAUUUAGGAACAAAUCAUGAUUGUAGAGUAUUUGUCUAUCAUUAAUUUAAAAAAAAUCAAAAUUAAUACCCAAGAAAGAUUAGAUACAUGCAUACUUAAUAAGAUACACUGAUAAAACUAUAUACUUAUAAACUAGAUACAUAUAAUCACAAAAAUUAUGUGUGAGAUACAUCGAUAAUGUAUUGAAACUUUUCGAUUACGUUAGUGGUUGCUCAGGACAUCUCACCACGGCGGUGUUUGCUUCACUUUUAAUUUAUCGAUGUUGCUCAUUGCUCGCUGCGAUUAGAUCUAACGGACCUCCGCCAGAUCAACCGAAAAAUCAACAUAAGCACUCCUCCAAUUGAGCCUUUCGACCUCCAAAUCGCCUCCGACGUUGAUGUGAUCUCCGGAUAGUAACAAUUUGAAAACGAAAGGCUAUAGAUUAAUUAUAUGAAUAUGCAUUGAUACAUUUAAUUUAAGGAAGGUAAGAAGCAAGAAAUUGAUGAACAACUUGUACAUAACUUCUGGUUGGUGACCCGCAGAAACAAUUUUAGGAGUAAAAAUGGUGACUAAUCGUUAAUUAGUAGGGGGGGGGGGAGAUAUUGAUAGGGUUGAAGAUUGGUUGUUAUUAAAACACUAAUUGUGGAUUUUAAAUAUAAAGAUAAUUAAUCAAUCCUAAUUUUAAGAGAUGUGGGUAUCUUUUUUAUUGUAUCUUAAAAAAUAUAUGGUAUAAAAUAUUAAAAGUGGUAAUAUAUGUAAUUGUUUGAAAGUAGAGGCAAAAUGUGUAUAUAUGGUAGUGAUGUAUGUCAAGUUAGGUAGUUUUUCCUUUUAGUUUUUGCAAAAGAAAAAACAGGUGAAAAGAUAGAUACUCCAAUACUUCCAUUUUCGAAGUCCAUGCCCUCUAUAUAUCCACUCUUAAUAAUACACAUCAUUAGACUUGAGAUGUAUAAUUAUUAGUUGAGAAAAUACAUAAUUAUCUUAUCGAACUUAUACCAGUUUUUUGAAGUAGACACCUAAAGUUUGUGUGAGUUUUAUUACCCCACGAAAUUAUUUUAAAGUAGCAUAUAUACCUCCUUUUUCGGUCAUUUUCAGUUGAAAUAAGGCAGGUGCAAAUCACGCACCAACCCUAAUCUACCACUUGUCAUUCACUAUUUAACUUUUAAUUCUUUUCAUUUUUUGCCUUUAAUUUUCUAUUUUAUUUCCUUUUCUUUUCUUUUUUGAAUUUUUUCUCUUUUAAAUUUCUACUUUGCCUCUGAUUUCUUAAAUUUGUUUUUUGAAUUUCACCACCACAAAUCAUAGUGACAACACUUCAACAUUGCACUACUUAAUCACUACUAAGUCAUGACAAAUAAUCAAAUAUGAAAAUUAGAAGUUCUAUCAAACCAAAAUUUAAAGUGACAACACUCCAUCAUUGCACUACUUAGUCACUACUAAGUCAUGACAAAUAAUCAAAUAUGAAAAUUAGAAGUUCUAUCAAACCAAAAUUUAAAUCAUCAUCUUCAUCCUAAAUCGCCUUCUUUAUCUAUUAGCAUCACCAUUUUCGAUCUUUAAGUUUUAGGAAAGAGAAAACUAUUUAUUUAAGUUUUAAAAAGAGGAAGAUAGAAUCUAAUAAUAUCGCAUUUUAAAAUACAAAAUUUGAGAAAGAAUGGUGAUUUUUAAUUUUCGGUGGCUUCUUAAAAGGCUAUUAAUGGUGAUUUGGGGAAGAUGGAUCUAAUUUAUUAAUUAGAAAAAUCAAAUUAAAAAUACCACAUGGUAUUUUAACACUGGUUUGGGGCUGUAAUACUACUCCUUCACACGCUCAAUUUUUGUGAGAAAACAAUUACAAUAAAAAUGGCUGAAAAGGGUGUAUUUAUCGUGAAUAUAAAUAGUUUCGUGGGGUAAUAAAACCCGCAUACUUUAGGUGUCUACUUUAAAAAAGGUAGAAGUUUAAUAGGGUAAUUAGGUAUUUUCUCUUAUUAGUUUAAAAUUCUUUCAAAUUAGACUUCGUGAAUACAGACUAUUUAACUCAAGAAUAUAACCUCAGAUUCCACUCAAACUUUAAACUGGAUUAAAUUUCAUGACCACCGGAUUAUUGCCAUACGUUCCCCUAACAGGAACAACCACGUUCAUUUUCCCCUCCAAUCUCCUCCAACUUAUCUUCAUUAUCAAAUUAACUAUAUACUACCUUUUUCGUUCUGUUUUUGGUCUAUCUUCACACAAAUGUUGCUAAUUUUUAUAAAUUAACUUUGAUGCGAAGAUGGUAAAAAAGUUAAAAAGAGGAUUGUCCAAAUCAUAUAAACGUAUAAUAAUACUGGAACAAACAAUUUGAUGAAAAAAUAUGAAAUAAAGGAGAAUGAUAAAUUGAUUGUGUGAAAUAGUUGAACAAAAUAUGUGAGAUGUUAAAUUAGAAAACAGGAAAACAAAACCCCAAAGUCAGAUUACAAGAUCAUGAUCUGUUUCCAUGGUUCAACUACGACUACUAGUAGUAACUGUAUUUCAACAAGUAUCCCUAACAAACAUCGAUCUCCAUAAACCACACAACACCGCUCAAACCCCACCUUGAAGAAACCAAGAAAACUAAAAUAAAAACUCACCUAAAUAAAAAAGAACAGUUCUAAACCCAUAAAGAUAUUCACAAUUUUUCUUCUGAUAAAAGCACAUGCAAGUGUGCAUGUUCUCUAUACGUAGACAAGCACAAGGUGGCAAGUAUUAUUAGUGGUUCGGCAUAUAGAUUUACUUCUUUACCCUUCAGGUGGAGUUGAUAUUACUUUAAUUACGUACCGCCCCAAGGAAAGAGCUGCUUCUGUAUCCAACCUCCAUGCAAAUCCUCCGCCGUCCAUUCUCCACACAUCACACGGAAGAAUCAAUGAGUUCUUCUCCUUCCCGCAUCUGACAACCCGAACCCGGCAAGUGAACGCCGCCGUGGAUUUGUUAUCCGGCAGCCGUACAUCAUCUUUCAUCACGAGCCAAACCACCACUUCCCCUGCCCCUUCACCCACCAUCGCCUUAUACGCCUUGUUGGCCCACCUUACUCUGUUUAAACCGUCUGAUAUAAAACCUGGACAGCUGUCCCGCUCCAGAUUUAUCAGUUUUUCCUCAUCCGUACGUCCUAGCCCAUACCCUUCCACCCACGCGUCUGUCACGCUUUCCACCUUUACCCAUGACCCCACUACUCGUACUGGCUGAGGAAACAUCACUCCUCCAUACCCCUGGGACUGACCAUUAUUAUUCUCUUGGUUACCACCAAAACUCAACCAGAUCGGAGAAUUUUUUUUCACUACGUCAACCGAACGAUCCUUCCUUUCAGGGCUCUCCGAUAACAAGGGAAGAGUUACUACCGUUUCUCCACCAGACACCGUUUUCCCACUGGAUUCAUUUUCUUCAGGCGACGGAGCUUUCCUUUUCCUACCACUAGGACUACUCCCGCUAUUAGAUCUCUUGCUAUUAUUACUAUUUUUAUUAUUCUCCUUAACAUACCUUCGCUUCCACCGUCCAGUACGAACCGGAACCUCAGUCUUUUGUGGUGGAGUAGUAGUGCCGGAAACAGAACUACCGGCUGCUGCUGGUUUAGGUGCGAUAGGUCUGAAUUUAAGCAUUAUCCUAUCCACUUUUGACAUAUCGUACGCACCUCCUGCGUACCUAGCAAUACAGCACCCUCCCCUCCCAUCCAUUUAUGGAGUUUUAGGAAAAUGAGAUUUCUAUUUCUAUUGUAAGAGUAAUAAACUUUUGAUAUUGAUAGGAAUGAAGAGAGGAGUAAAAGGAGGGGAGGUGAAUUUAUAGGUGGGAAGAGAGAAGGGAGGACGCGUGUGAGGGAGUUGAUUAACACGUGGGAGAAGAGCGGUGAAACAGCGCAGAGAGCUGAUUGGCUAAUGUUAUAACGUGGCGCUAUGUUAAGGUGAGCCCCAUGUGACAGAACCCUAUCGGGUUGAGGGGUUUAGGAUGGGCCCGGUUUUGUACUAUCCAAUGAGAAUGCAGGGAGUGUUUAGUAUGGUAUCAAAAGAGGUACACGUAGGCCUAUUACGGUAGUCUUGUGGGAGGUGUAUAGUGGAGUAUGUUCGAGAAGAAGAACACGUGGUCCAAUGGUUAGAGAAUCCCGUUAGACUCUCUAUAACGAUUGCACCACGUGGACGGCAGAUUCUACCAGCAAAAAUGGUGGGUUCAAUGGACUGAUAUUUUGACAAGAGCAUGGACCAUUGUUUUUUCAUUUUUUACUCUCUCCGUUUUAAAAGAAUGAUUGAUAUGAAAUUUAACACAAUAAAGAAAAAAAAUUAAUUUUAAUAUUUUAAAUUAAAGCUAUAUAAUAUUCAUCAAAUUAUCUUUUAAUAUUGUGCCCUUAAAUAUAUAAUAAGGAAAAUUGAAAAUGAUUUAUUGCCAAAAAUAAUAAGAGAGAUCAUUGUUUUAGAACAGAUUAAAAAGGAAAAUAUGUCAAUAUUUUUUAAACGAAUAAAUUAUUAAUUUCAUCCAAUUUUUAUAUUGAGAUGUAAUUAAAUUUGUAAACAUUACAUAAUUUAUUUUUGAAGACAACAAUCCUAACAUGCCUUAUUAUUCGAGGUUUAGAUGAAUGAUCUCUGUCAUCUCACCAUAAUCUAUAUUGGUCAUGGACCUUUGUUAGGAAAAUGCAUUAUGUUAUUAAAUCGCAUACAUUAUUGGUGUAAAUAAUGAUCUAUAUUAUCAAUUUUACUUAAUAAUAUUUAUAGGUGAAAAUUUUAAAACUAAAUCUGUAAUUUUUAAAAUAAAACAAAUUAUUAGCGACAAAUACAAUAAAUACAAGUAGUUUGAUAAUUAAUGUAAAAGUUUCUUACAUUUAGGGUAUAUUUAUACUUAAUGGGUGAACAAGUUAUUCUAGUAUUAGAAUGCCUAGAUUACAGUAUGAGAUUAAUUGGCUAAUGAAUACAUUUUUAUUUCAUAAAUGUUUGAUUCAUUGAACUAAAAUGAAUAAAAAUGAUAUUAUAUAAAUAUCAAGUAUAGACAAACUUUUAAUCUAAUUUACAUGUACUAAUACAAAAUAUGUAUUUGAAGAAGGACAAAUGUGUUAUUGUUUUAUUUUAUCCCAAGAUUAAUAAUUCCAAAAUAAUUACUAUUUACCCUAUAGUGUUGUACGUAUAGGAAUAAUAUCACGUUUAUGGCAUAAAAAAUAAUUCCAGAGUUACUAAUUACUAAAUCAGAACUGUACUGUCAUACAUAAAAUAAAUUAAAUCCACAAUUUAUUCUGGUAUUAUUUCCUAAUUUCACUAACAAAUUAAAAAAAUGACCCCUUUGGACACUGAUUUAUCUGACGUAAAAAUUUGAUUAUUGGAUUUUUAUAAACAUUAUUUAGAAUGAGACAGAAUAUUUGUUCACUGCCUUACUGGGUAUAUAUUGAAUUGACAACACAAGGAACAAAUAGACAGUGUUCAGUUCUAGUCAAGAUUAAUCUUACUCAAAUAUAAAUGAAGUAACUUACCAUUAUACCAUACUAUAUAGUAUUCAUUUCUUUUAUUUUCAAUAAGGUGAACAUAAAUUGCAGACAUUUCCUAUACUAUCUACUUGAGCUUUUACAUUUAUUUACUCAAUAAAUAAAUAUAUAUAAACUAAAGAUCUUGUUCAAAAUUUUCAUAGUUGUACGUCUUGUUAGCCUAUGAGAUGUUUUAUUACGAGAGUUUUAUUUGAUAAGUUGAUCUUCUAUGAGAUUUUUAUUACGAGAGUUUUAUUUGAUAAGUUGAACUUGUGGAUCAUGUAAGAUUAAAUAUUUUAAUACAUAAUAUCAGGAUCUUGAACACGAUAAUCUUACAUAGAGAUUGUUAGGGGCACAUACCUGAUGCGGAAGACAUCAUCACAGAGAGAAGCGGAAGCGUUAGUCGUAAAUUGGUUUCUACCUCCUUGCCCUACCUUUAUGUUACCACAACCGUCAGCGAUGAAAUUAUUGUAGAUAAUAUGUGAUAACCCUAAUGGGUGGAGGGAUGACCAAUUUAUAGAGGUUAUGACUUAAUCUGGUAUGUCCAUCAAGUAACCAAUGUACGGACGAGAUCUAAUUCCUUAUUAAAUAUUAUUUAUGAUAUUACUUGGGUUACAAGUAAACUUGGGCCAUAAGUAAGAAAUAAUUAAUAAUAAUUAAUAAUAAUUCUUACAUUCUCCCACUUGGCCCAAUGACCAUAUUAAUAUUUCAUAAACAUUAGUUGCGCGUAUAAUAAAUCUCUUCUAUAAUGUCCAUCAUACAUACCACAAUAUAACAAACUACUAAUGCGAGUUAUGGCGGUUGUACAUAAAUUUUAAGCUACAUANNNNNNNNNNNNNNNNNNNNNNNNNNNNNNNNNNNNNNNNNNNNNNNNNNNNNNNNNNNNNNNNNNNNNNNNNNNNNNNNNNNNNNNNNNNNNNNNNNNNNNNNNNNNNNNNNNNNNNNNNNNNNNNNNNNNNNNNNNNNNNNNNNNNNNNNNNNNNNNNNNNNNNNNNNNNNNNNNNNNNNNNNNNNNNNNNNNNNNNNNNNNNNNNNNNNNNNNNNNNNNNNNNNNNNNNNNNNNNNNNNNNNNNNNNNNNNNNNNNNNNNNNNNNNNNNNNNNNNNNNNNNNNNNNNNNNNNNNNNNNNNNNNNNNNNNNNNNNNNNNNNNNNNNNNNNNNNNNNNNNNNNNNNNNNNNNNNNNNNNNNNNNNNNNNNNNNNNNNNNNNNNNNNNNNNNNNNNNNNNNNNNNNNNNNNNNNNNNNNNNNNNNNNNNNNNNNNNNNNNNNNNNNNNNNNNNNNNNNNNNNNNNNNNNNNNNNNNNNNNNNNNNNNNNNNNNNNNNNNNNNNNNNNNNNNNNNNNNNNNNNNNNNNNNNNNNNNNNNNNNNNNNNNNNNNNNNNNNNNNNNNNNNNNNNNNNNNNNNNNNNNNNNNNNNNNNNNNNNNNNNNNNNNNNNNNNNNNNNNNNNNNNNNNNNNNNNNNNNNNNNNNNNNNNNNNNNNNNNNNNNNNNNNNNNNNNNNNNNNNNNNNNNNNNNNNNNNNNNNNNNNNNNNNNNNNNNNNNNNNNNNNNNNNNNNNNNNNNNNNNNNNNNNNNNNNNNNNNNNNNNNNNNNNNNNNNNNNNNNNNNNNNNNNNNNNNNNNNNNNNNNNNNNNNNNNNNNNNNNNNNNNNNNNNNNNNNNNNNNNNNNNNNNNNNNNNNNNNNNNNNNNNNNNNNNNNNNNNNNNNNNNNNNNNNNNNNNNNNNNNNNNNNNNNNNNNNNNNNNNNNNNNNNNNNNNNNNNNNNNNNNNNNNNNNNNNNNNNNNNNNNNNNNNNNNNNNNNNNNNNNNNNNNNNNNNNNNNNNNNNNNNNNNNNNNNNNNNNNNNNNNNNNNNNNNNNNNUGCAUUAGCAACUUAUCAUACUAGGUUCAUAAGCUAUAAAAACAUAUAACAUUAUGGUCCAUAAUAAUGUCUCAUAGAGACUUAUCUUGUGAUAUCUCAAACAAUAAUGUGUACACCAUUAUGAGAAACAAGAAAUUCAUUAAUGUAUAUCAAAAACACAUAAUAUGAGCUCAGAGUGUAAAAACAUCAUAAAUCUAUCAAUAAUAAGUACAACCAAGAUCCAUUAUUUGAACAUGUUCUUUAAAUGUCUUUGGUUGUAAGCCUUUUGUUAACGGAUCUGCAAUCAUGAGAUCAUUUCUCUUUGUUUCUGAACUUCUUCUUUAACAGUAAAGUACUUUAAUUCCAUAUGUUUGGCACAUUUGGAGUAUUUAUCGUUCUUGGAGAAGAAUAUUGUUGCAUCAUUAUCAUAAUAAAUUUUCAGCGGCUUGGUAAUGGUGUCGACAACCCCAAGUCCUGAAAUGAAGUUCCGCAGCCAUAAUGCAUGAAUUGUGGCUUCAUAACAUGCCACAAACUUUCUUUGCAGUCUUUCAUUAAUCUAUUCUAGGAUUACUUUGAUAUCUUUCUAGCAUUCCGACUGCAAAUUAAUAUCCGAUCUUGUACAAGUUUGAACAUACAUCAAACUUCCAACAUUAGAAGAUGAAUGAAUUGAUUUCAUUUUUUUUCGUUCUACAACAUUCUUUGGGCAUUGCAUGAGAUUAAAUUUGUCCCAUUUUUUGAAUAGGAACUAUUCUUGCUGAACAAUUGUUCAUGUUAAAUCUCUCUAAAACUCUUUCGAUAUAGCCUUUUGAGACAGUACCAAUAAUCCUUGUGAUCUAUCACAAAAUAUUUCUAUCCCUAUCGCAUAGGAUGUCUCACCCAUAUCUUUCAUUUCAAAGUUCAUAGAGAGAAAGUUUUUCGUCUCACGCAAUAUGCUUAAAUCAUUAGCAGCAACUAAAAUGUCAUCAACAUACAGGACUAAAAUAUAAACUUACUCCUACUGAUCUUUUAGGUAUAUACACCGAUCAACGGUAAUCUCCUUAAAUCCCAAAGAUGAUAUGGUAUCAUUAAACUUUAUAUACUAUUAUCGUGAGGCUCGUUUGAGUCCAUUUAUUGACUUCUUUAGCGUACACACCAUUUGAUCUUUUCCUUUAAUUUUGAAACCCUCUGGUUGAUCCAUAUAAACAUCCUCCUUAAGGUUUCCAUUAAGAAAGACAACUUUCACAUCCAUUUGAUGUAACUCUAAAUCAUAAUGAACUACCAAAGCUAAAACAAUUCUUAAUGAGUCUUUCUUUGAGAUAGGUGAAAAUAUCUCUUUAUAUUCAAUGCCUUUUUUUUUUGAGUGUAUACCUUGGCAACAAGUCUGGCUUUAUAUCAUUCAAUAUUACCAUUAGAAUCGCGUUUGGUCUUGAAGACCCAUCUACACCCGAUUCUUUUAGAACUUUCUGGUAAUUGAACAAGAUCUCAAACUUUGUUGUAUUCCAUAAAUUUUAACUCUUCAUUCAUAGCAUCAAUUCAUUUAUCAGACUCAGCGCUUUCUAUGGCUUGUGAAAAUGAAAUCGGAUCUUUAUUAAUUCCAAUGUCAAAAUCUGACUCUCGCAAAUAAAUCAUGACCGAUUUUCUUAAUGGAACUGUUUGUGGUUCAUUUGCGUUAGAUACUUGUGAGUUAGUUCAUUCUUGAAGUGUUUCACCCAAAUAUUGUUCAAUAUUGUUAAAGUGUUCUUCAACAAGAGGAACAACAUUUGUGAUUGGUGCGGAAGUAGGUACAUUCAUGGGCAAUGAAAUAUUUACCCUUCCCUCAUUAAUUUCCAUGCUUUGUCGUUCAACACUCCCACUUACUUCACCAUUCUCAAGGAAUUUUGCGAAUGGACUUAAACAUUGUUCUGAUUCGUUAUACUUUUCAUAUUAUUCACCACUCCUAUCUGACCUCAUGAUUUUCACUCUCCUAUCUAAUUGUCUUUCAACCUCAUUGAUGUACACUUUGAGAGCUUCCGCUGCUUGAGAUUUUCUUUCAACAAAUAGAUAAAUCCAUAACGUGAAAAGAUACCGAUAAAGGUGAUAAAAUAUUUUUCUCCACCUAAAGAUGGAACAUCAAAGGGUUUGCAAAUAUCAGUGUGUAUAAUUUCAACAAGCUGAGUGCUUCUUGUGGCACCUUUCUAGGUAUGCUUGGUUUGCUUUCCUUUAAUGCAAUCCAAACAUAUAUCAAGAUCAAUAAAAUUCAGAUUCGGAAGAAUCUCGUUCUUUACUAUCCUUUUUAAUCUUUCUUUGGAUACAUGACCUAAACGUUUAUGCCACAAAUAAGAAGAACUUUCAUUUAGUGAACUACAUCUAAUUAUUAUUGAGUUUGAAUCUAUAUAAACCAUCAAUAAGAACACCAGAGCCAUAAAAAAUAGUAUUCUUAUAUAAAUUAAAACAACCAUGUCCAAAUUUAAAAUCAAAUCCAGAAACAUCAAGUCUUGAAAGAGAAAUCAAAUUCUUAGAAACUGAAGGAACAUAAAGAGUCUGUAAUAGAUCAAGGUGAUGUCGAGUCUCCAAGAUCAAACGAUAAGUCCCUAUGCCUUCAAUUUUAGCUUUCAUGCGAUUUCCCAUGAACAAGAAAUUUUUAUUUGGAUUCAUAGUUUGGAUCAUAGUGAAUCCCUGCAACAUAGUGGAUAUAUGAGUAGUUGCACUAGAAUCAAGCCACCAAGUAUUAUGAGGAACUUCUAAUAAAUUUGAUUCGAAACAUACAAAGGCACUAAAUGUACCUUUCUUUUCAACCCAAGCUUCACAUUUCUGGCAAUCUUUCUGAUAGUGUCCUUCCUUUUUACAGAAACGACACACAUUAGCCUUGAGUUCCUUAUGAGCAUCUUGUGGAACUUUAGCAGGUGCUUUGUUUUUCUUAAACUUGUUGGCUUUCACUUUAAAUCCUUUACCAGCUUCUUGACCCAUGAGGUUAAUGGAAUGACCUCCUUGUUUCUUACGUCUUGACUCCUCUUGAAUAAGUAUACUGGAGAAUUCACUAACAUUCCACUUAUCCUUAAUAGUGUUAUAGUUAAUUUGGAAUGGUCUAUACUCAAGAGGCAAUGAGUUCAGAAUAAACUGAACCAAGAAGGUGUCAUCCACUUUCAUCCCUAAGGUCCGAAGUCUUGCUGCAAUAUUGGUCGUCUUGAUGAUAUGAUUUUGCAUACUACACGACCCAUCAAAUUUCAUGGUCGUUAGUUCAGCCAUUAGUGUACCAGCGAGAGACUUAUCAACAGAAUGAAAACGUUCUUCCACAAACUUCAGGUAUUCCCUGGCACUUUAUGUUUGUGGAAUAGUACUCUUAAUGUUGUUAGCAACAAUCAUUCGCAUGAACAUAAGACUCAAUCUGUUAGAGCGCUUCCAUGAUUUAUGAAAAGACUUCUCAUCCUCACCGCUCUUAUCAGUAAUGACAGUAGGUUUGUCAUUUAGCAGAGCCAAGUCAAGAUCCAUCACACCUAAGUAAAACUGGACUUGUUCAUGCCAUUCAGAGAAGUUCAAUCCAUUGAACACAAUAACAGACGAAGCAUGCGAAUGAAGAGGAAUAACUGCAAAAUAUAUAUAUAUGCUCACAAAUAAGAAAAUAAUGUGAAUUCAGUAAAACGAUAAAAAUGUAUCGUAAUUCUCCUUUGGGUAGAUACUACGACACAUUAUUAUAAUUUAAAUGUCAUUUUUAUCUUUAUUAGGUAAUUGAAUUUUUUUAAUCAAACAUUUACGACAUCUUUGGAUAUACAAUAUAUGUUUGACUAAAAUAUUAAUUCACCUCAUAAUUUUCACUAUUCGUAGAAUGAUAAAUUCACCUUUGGGUAAAUUCAUAAGUUUUAGCAAUAAUGAAAGUCAAUUUAUCUAUUUAUUUUUCAAUAUAUAAGCAUUUAAUUAACCUUCAUAGAUAAAUGACAAUUUCAUGAGUGCAUAUAUCUCUUAACCAUACUAGUUUGACCACUUUGGUGACUAACAAACUAUAUGGAUACAAAUGCAUACAUAAUCUCAUAAAAUUUUGUGCAUGUGAAUAAUUUUAAACAUUUUAGUACGGCCACUUUGGUGACUAACAAACUAUAGAAACAUAAUACAUGCAUCAAGUGAUCAUAAAUAUUAUAUGUGUAGAUGCUAGUUUCUCUAGUUUGGCCACUUUGGUGACUAACAAACUAUAGAAACAUAAUACAUGCAUCAAGUGAUCAUAAAUAUUAUAUGCAUGUGUAGACGUUAGUUUCUCUAGUUUGGCCACCUUGGUGACUAACAAAACUAUAGAAACAUAAUACAUACAUCAAGUGAUCAUAAAUAUUAUAUGCAUGUGUAGACGUUAGUUUCUCUAGUUUGGCCACUUUGACUAACAAACUAUAUUUCACUAAGUACACAUAUUAUUUAUUGCUUAGUAUAACAACCACUUUAAUUUUUUGCACAAUCUAAAAUAAAACAUAAUUAUUACAUUAUGAGAAGAUUAAGUUUUUUCAGAAUUUGUGCAAUCUAAAACAAAACAUAAUUAUUUAUUUAUUUGGAAGGAAAUUCUUCAGUAGAAUGGUGAACUUAACGCCUUAAUGAUGACAGGCACAAUGUAGGAGAAAACAAGAUACGUAACUCGGCCAGACAUAUUACAUUAACAUAGAAAAUAAUUUCUCAUUAUUAAUAUGCAAACAUAUUUUAAUUAUAACAUUACUCUUAUGAAAAUAUGUAUUUCAUACAUAAUUGAUAAUUAAUGGUACUCCAUUAUUUAAAUAAGUCAUUAGAUCUUUUAUACAAUAAGACAAUAAUUUGUAUAAAGAAUCUCCGGGAAGUUCCGUCACCAAUACAUGCAAUCAAGCACUAAGAUACGGCGAAUACAUAAUUUUUAUUUCUUUUAUAUACGAAGAUUAUGUAAACACUUAAUUUUUUAUCGAACAUAAAGUUUUACACUACUUUUUUAUUCCUUAAAUAUUUCUUUUAUGUUUAAGUUAGAUAUUUUGAUUUUGACUUAUUUUGGUAAGUUUAUUUUUAAAAAAAUUUGAAAAUAACAAAAAUAUAUGUUUUAUUUUAAUUUAAGGUUUAAUAAAUGAAAUAGUAUUUCUUGAUCAUAAUUAUUGUCAGUUCACAAAAUAUUUAAAUAAUAUUCUUAUAUUAUAUUAUAUUAUAAAAAAAGUAACCUAAAAGUAACCUACACUACCCCCGCACUCACCCACAUUUCACCCCACUUCUCCCAUUGCCCCUCACACUACCCACACAACACACACAAUACAUACUCCUACACCCCCUAUAAAUACCAACAAAACCCAAAAAAAAAAAAGGAUCAGAAACGCAUCCCCAUAUAUACAAAACCAAAACAUUUUCUUUUUCUCUCCAGUAACACAUGCACACAUUUCCUUUUCCUAACAAAAAAUGAUAUGUGUAGUUAUGGCUUAAUAAAUUGAAAUGAUGAGAAUAAUUAAUGACAAAGAUUCAUUAGGUAAAGAUGUUAAUUUUAGUUAGUAGAUUUUUCUUUUCAUGUUAAUGACAUAAAAAAAAAAGAUCAAAAGGUUAAAAACAAAAGAAGGAGAAAACGCAAUUAAAAAAAAAGGUUAAGUGAAAAUAAACAAAAAUGUACAGAAUGUUAAAAAAACAUAAUGAUUUUUUUUUUAAAGAAAAGAGGAGCGGAACUUUUAAAAAAAAAGGUAAGUAAAAAGUAGAAAAAGAAAAAAGAAAAGAAAAAGAGGAAUAGAAUAUGUGUCAAAAACAGAAAAAUAAGAAAAAAUAAAAAUGAAGCAUUGGAAGUAUAAUAAUGAUAAUUAUAAUAAUAAUAAUAAAAUAAUAAAAAGGUAAAAAGAAGAAAAAGAAAUGUAAUAAUAAUAAAUAAUAAUAAAGAAAAAGAAAAAAAAAUCUCUUAAUUUUACUCUAUUUUGUUUGAGUAAAUUUAUGCGCGUAUAUAUAUUUUUAAUUAAUGGACAUAUACUAAUAAAAUAAGGUAGUUUUAAAUAGGUAUAAAAUAAAUCAAAGAGUGAGGGUAAAUUUUUUUAUUUUAUUAUUAAGCUAAUAAUAUAGUAUCCAAAAAUUAAGUCAAAUUAUAUAAAGGUCAAUAAAGUGACCUUGUUAGAACUACGGAAUUCGAGGGAUGGCUAAUAUCUUUCCCUCGGUCAAUAUAUUUUCUUACCCGAUCUAUGUUUUAGCAGACCAAACAAAAUAAAGAGUCAAAUCUCUUUUUUAUUAGGGAUUUAAAUAAGGUGACUUGGAACACCAAAACUCAAUUCUAAGUGACGACCCUGCUUAAUAAAAUAAUCUCUUUUCAAAAUGUCACUCUAAUUGGAAAAAACUCUUUUCUUUCAAAACAAUUAAUUUUGAGGGAAAAAUAGGGGUGUGACAGAUGACGACUUCGCUGGGGAUAACCAGAAUUCGAGCUUGUAAAUAUUGAUUUAUGUAUGACUUUUAUUUAUUUAUGUUUUUGGAUAUUUUAUUUGUUGGCCUAAUAUAUUAAUGUCUACUUAUUCACUAUUUUGAUAUUAUUUGAAUUGUAUAUAAAUUGUUUUUGUCUCGCACACCACUCUGAGUCUUCAAUAAUAUCAUAAUGGGAAUUGCGACUGCACACCACACUUCUGUCAAUAUAGCCAGUGGAUCUUCAGUCCAUGGUGAAAGAUUUUGUCUCACUUGUUUAGGAUGGAGAGCACCCAUGCACAAAGCCGAAAAGCGUUGCUACCGAUAUAUUACUACUCCCUAACUCGAAUUAUUCGCUCGUUUUACAACACGGCUAGACACCAAAAUCAUAAGGACUUUAAAACCUAGUUGAACAAGCCUCAUAUAAUGAUUAUCCUUAGUAGGAUACACUUUGUUUGCAUCAUGAGCAUUUGAAUUUUGUAUUUUUACCAUAAAAUUUCCUAAAGAAAAAUAGUUUCAAAAGUAGAGUAUAUUUUUAAAAAAAAAUUAACAAACUACGCACAUCUAAUUCUCACCCCGAUGAGAUACGUAGGCAACCCUCUUUGGGAUCUGUGAUCUUUAUUCAAAAAAAAUUUAAAAAAAUCUUUUUAAAAAAAAUUCAAAAAUUCAAAAUAAAGAAGCUUUAAUCUUUCUCAAAAUUAAGUUUUUCUUAAUUUUCUUUUAAUAAUUCAAAAGAAAACUAAAUGAUUUUUUCUCAAAGCUCUAAAAAGAAAAAAACUUAGUCAUUGAGUUUUAGAAAAAUAUGCAAUGGUCUUAUUCAAGAUCUCAAGCAUGUUACGAAUUUGAUGAAUGUAUUAUCAAAUCAUUUAAAACAAAAACUAAUUUAAGAAAUGUCUAACCCUAACAAACUUUAUCGUCCAUGCAUACAGUUAAAUUAAGGUGGUUGGUUUGUGGUUAAGCUAACAUCUCAUUCCUAUAAUACAAGGUGAAAAGGCAAAAAGAAAAUGACUCACAAAGACUGAAAUGAGUCAGACAAUGAUGAGGUUCAAAACCAGAUGAUUUCACAAGAAACAGUGUCAACAGAAGAGGUAAGGAUAUUAAGACAACAAAUGACGGAGAUGUACGAAGCUUGGAUGAGUGGACAAGCUCCACCGUCUUCAAUUCGUGACUAUCUAAAUACAAAUAUGUCACCGCUUGACCAAGCGUCGAUAAGUGAUCCAGUUUAUCCACCUGGAUUCGGCCCCUAUUCUAGCGUAUCCAAUGUAGCUGGAACUUCCACGAUACUCCCUUUAAAUACGCCUAUGAUAAAUAAUCCGCUCUUCAUGCCAACUGCGCCGACUAAUAGCUUCCCUCAGCCUAUAAUGAAGCCAAAAUCUAACAAUGAUCCUCCACCCAAAGUUCAAUAUGAUCGAGAUUAUACUCAUGAAUUAACUUUUAAAAUUUCAAGCUCUUACCCUCACACUCAUCAACAUAGUUCCACUGUUGAAAUCUGAAAAAGUUAUUAAGAACGAGUAACAUGAAGAAAUGACUAGAAAGAUGAAGAGUUUGGAACAGAGUGUAAGAGAUAAGCAAGGAUUGGAAGGUCACAAAAGUGUCUCAUUUAAUGAUUUGUGCAUGUUUCCCCACGUUCAUCUACCCAUCGAUUUUAAAACUCCAAAGUUUGACAAAUAUGAUGGACAUGGAGAUCCUGUAGCUCACUUAAAGAGAUAUUGUAAUCAACUGAGAGGGGCUGGAAGCAAAGAAGAAUUCCUCAUGGCCUAUUUUGGGGAAAGUUUGAUGGAAAUUACCUCAGAAUGGUUCAUAGAUCAAGAUACUUCUAACUGGCAUACAUGGGAUGAUUUUGCUCGAUGUUUUAUUCAACAAUUUCAAUAUAACAUUGAUGUAGUUCUGAAUCGUACUUCACUUGCGAACAUGAGGAAAAAGACUAUCAAAAACUUUCGUGAAUAUGCUAUUAGGUGGAGGGAGCAAGUUGCUAGGGUUAAGCCGCCAAUGAAAGAGUCUGAGAUGAUUGAUGUUUUUCUCCAAGCACAAGAACCAUACUAUUUUCAUUAUUUACUAUUCGUUGUUGGAAAAACAUUCGCCGAAGUUAUUAAGAUUGGUGAAAUGGUGGAAAAUGACAUCAAGUCUGGAAAAAUUGUAAGUCAAGCUGCUUUGAAAGCCACAACACAUGUGAUAAAAAAUGGAUCAUAAAAUCUUGGGGGAAAGAAAAUGAAAGAGGAUGUAGCAAAUGUUAUGUCAGACACACAAAAGGGUCUUAGGGGUCCAGUUUAUCAAUAUACACCACCUCAAUUCCAUCACUAUCUCCCUAUGCAAGACACACAAUAUUCUAUUGUUCCACCUAAAUAUGUGGUCUAUAAUGCACAAUAAUAUGCAUACACACCAAAUUAUCCUCAAUGGCGAGCGCCAACAUAUCAAAAUGUUCACCUUUCUUCUCAAAAUUUUGGAGCACCUUAUAAUCUCCGUCCGAGACAGGGAUUUGAAGGAGGUCCAAGGCCUAGAAACAAUUUUACAUACAAAUUGGAGAGUCUUACACAAGUUUAUUUAAUAAGUUGAAACAUUUGAAGAUGAUAGAGCCAAUUCCUCAAAAUUAUGUGGAUCCACAUGAAAAGGUUUUAAUCAUACAGCACGAUGUGCAUACCAUUCUGAUACUCCAGGGCACAGUAUUGAAGAUUAUCAUAAUUUUAAAAAAAAAGGUGGAAGAGAUGAUUCAAACAAAGAUGAUUGUGGUUCAAAAUGAUGACCCCCCAAAUGUUACUAAGAAUCCUCUACCGGUGCAUAAUGAUGUACACUUAAUCGAGAUGAUAUGUGAUGACAAAGAAUAUGACAAUUCUGAAGAAAUGACAAUUGAAAUUGGUGGAGCUUUUACGAAGGCUAACGUGUAAAGCAGUGGCUAAGAAGUCCAGCUUGGUGAUUGAGAGACACUCUUCUUUUCUCUAAAAAGAGUGUAUAGAUAGUUUAUUUUGUCAUCAUUUUUUCUAUGCAAUUCAUAUUUUUUAGUAAGUCAAACCUUUCUAUCAUAUCUCUUAUGCGUUUGUUUGUUGAGUCUUGUCAUAGUUUGGGUUAUUAUAGAGUUGUGACCUAAAUUUAGUUUGUUGUCUUGUCACCAAGUGUUUUUUAUUGUAAUAUAAUCUUUAUUAUGUAUCACUUUGAUCCGUUCUAAUUGGCUUUCCACAUAUGCAUCUCUUGUCAAUUCAAUUUUUUGACAUGAUAUGCAAGAGGAUUUGGUCAGAUCUUAAGAUUAUAUCUAGUUAUGGAAUAGAUACACCAAAGAAGUAAAAAAAAAAUACAUUCGAGGAAAUGAAUAAAGGACUUAAACACCUUGUUACGUCUUUUAGUAUCGAAGAUGCUUAAAAGAAUAAAUUUCAUUUAAAUUGACACAUGCCAUUUGUUGUCAAGAAGGUAUUAAUCAAAUGGAGAUUUCAAACUGACAAAUAUGAAACAAAAAUGAUAUACAUAUCCAUCAAUGCAUACGUUGCAAAGAGAUAAUGUAUGAUUUUCACUUCACAUCUUAAAGGGCAUGCUUGUAUUUGACAUUUUUAAUAAUUGAUAUGACAAAGACAUUUCAUUCUACUAUCCAAACACCGUGUAAUCCUUGCAAUCUCUUUUGAGCCUUAAUUUUAUUCUCUUUCAUACCCCUCUUUUGGAAUCAAAAUACAGUUAAAAAAAACGAGUCACAAAUUUUUUUAAAAAAAGAGAAGUCACAAAAAAGAGUCAAGAAAAAAGUGAAAAAAAGGGUUGAAAAAAAUAAUAACAACAAAAGAACAAACUUCCUGAACUACGUUCGAACUGAUUCUUACUUUGACAAGAUACGUAGGCAGCCUUAUUUUGAGGUUUGGUCCAAGCAAGAAAAAAUCUAGAAACCCCUCAUCACAAAAAUUGGGGAAAUAAUAAUAAUUAUGAUUAUUAUUAUUUUAUUUUAUUGUAUUUUUGUAAAAAAAAAUCGAUUUCAAAAGUUGUAAGUCUUAACCCUGUUACGUAGUAUCCUUGAGCUUUCAUGCCAAUCUUUUCCUUUUAACCCUGUCCAAAAGCCACAUUAUAAUUCAAAUAAAGACCUUCUGAUCAAUUUUUAACAAUGAUAAGUCAAGCAAGCUUUCAGUGUUGAUUACAUAAAGAAAAAUGUCAUGCCACUCGCAUAAGGAGUAAAAUGAGGGAAUCUUAUCGAUGAAAAUCCUUGAAAGCCUUAUAUGAGAUCAUUUGAGUUGAGAGAAAGUAAAAAAUGAGAGAGUAUUAUUGGUGAAAACUCUCAGGACACCGUAAGACGAUAGUGAGUGAGAGAUAAUAAAAAAGAAAGAGACUUGUCUGUGAAAUCUUUUCGAGGCACCACAAGUCAAGUGUUAGUCAUAAAUCUAGUGCAAAAGUUGGAUUAUAGAAGUAUGACUUCAAAGUUGAAAGUUUGACAAAGAUGAAGUUUGGAUUGAUUGGACAGACCAGGCCAUUAAAUCCAAAAUGCAUGUAUGAUCAUUAGAAAUGACCACCACUAUCAAUGGAGUUCAUUUUUAUUUUUUAUUUUUUAUUUUUUCUCAAAAGGAUCAAAUAUUAUUUAUUCUUAUUUUGUGUCGCUCAAUUCGAUAUUGAGAUAGUCUUCAUUAAAGCAAGAAGAAAAUGAUUUCAAAAUUGCUACCAUCUUUUCAAAUGCACAAAGCAAAGUUUGGUCAGCACAUCAAAUAUGACAUGAUUCAAGAUAUAUUGAUAUGCAUAGUAACUUGCCAACAAUUGACAAAUUUUGAGAAUUUAUAUGAAUACAAGAUUCAAUGAUUGUUGGAGGGUGGAAACAAUAUAGCAAGUAUGAAGUUGGAAGUUUCGAACAACUAGAGAUGUUUUCAAGAUUAUCAAGGUGAGCUGACUAGCAAACGAGAAUAGUCUAUCUCAGGCUAAAAUUUGCUUCAAACAUGGCAACAAUAGGAGCAACUAUCCUCAAAGCCAAUGCCACAAAUCGACCACCAUUAAAAAAAAUCAUAAAUUUUCCUUGUUUCUUUUUUAAAACAGGGAAAUGUUCCUGAAAUAAAAGAUAUCUUGAAGACUCAAAUUUAUUAACAUCAUUGCAAGUUAAAGAAAAAAUUUACAUGCAUUAUUUCUCCUAGGAUAAACAUUUUAUAGUCUGAGACAUUUAUUUCUCAUUUUCUCCUAGGAUAAACACUUCCUAGUCGGAGACCGUUAGUAUCAUUAAUUUUUUUUUCUCUUUCUUUCUCUUCUAGAAUAAACAUUUUCUAGUGUGAGACGGUUAUUUUUCAUUUUUCUCCUAGGAUAAUAAGACAUUUGAAAAUAAAAAAUAAAAAAAUUAAAUGUUAUGGUGAUUGUAUUUGAUAAUUCAGUUUGACAAAAUCUUCCUAAAUGAUGUGACUUAGUUUAAUAGGACCCUCCUACAUAAUGAGAUUAGUAGGACCCUCCUACAUAAUGAGAUUUAGAUUAGUAGGACCCUCCUACAUAAUGAAAUUAAUAGGACCCUCCUCCAUAAUGAAAUUUAGUUUAGCAGGACUCUCCUACAUAAUGGGAUUAGCAGGAUCCUCCUAAAAAUUGAGAUUUAGAUUAGCCGGACCCUCCGACAUAAUGAGAUUUAGAUUAGCAGGACCCUCCUACAUAAUGGGAUUAGCAGGACCCUCCGACUUAAUGAGGUUUAGAUUAGCAGGACCCUCUUACAUAAUGUGAUUUAGAUUAACAGGACCCUCAUAUAUAAUAUGAUUUAGAUUAGCAGGACCCUCAUACAUAAUGGGAUUAGCAGGACCCUCAUACAUAAUGAGAUUUAGAUUAGCAGGACUCUCCUCAUAAUGGGACUAACAGGACCCUCCUGGAUAAUGGGACUAGCAGGACCCUCCUCAUAAUGAGAUUAGCAGGACCCUUUUGGACAAUGGGAUUAGCAGGACCUCAUAUAUAAUGAGAUUUAGUUUAGAAGGACCCUCCUACAUAAUGAGAUUAGAUUAGCAGGACCCUCAUACAUAACGGGACUAGCAGGACCCUCCUACAUAAUGGGAUUUGGUUACUUUCUCCUAGGACAAACACUUCCUAAUAUGAGUUUAUUUAUUUAUUUUAAAUUCACAUUUGUUAAUAACUCACAAAAAUUUUCCAGUGAAAACUGGGGAGUUUUUUUUGUUUAUUUCUUAUGUUUCUGAUGGUUUUCAAGUUUUUUCAAGCGAAACAUGAAUUUGAAAUUUAAGAACAAAGUUUCAACUCUUUUCAGAAUAAUCAAUCUCCAUGAUAGCUAGAAUCAACUUCUUCAAUACAUGUAGCAGCCUGACUUCCUGAUAUCUAUUUAUAUUCAACUACUGAUCAAGAAAACAAGCAAACAUUUAAGAAUAUUUUUAAAUUGUCAUUCUGAAGAGUGCCAAAAGCUCGCUCUAAGCGGCGACAAGUUAAGCCUCAAUCCAAUUCAAGAUCAAGAUACUCACCCAAAAAUCAAGGUGAUGUCUGAAAGUCAAGACUCAAGUGAAGACUCAAGAGAAGCUGCAUAGAUAGGAGUUUGUACUGUUAUUUUCCUUUUGGCUAAUUAGUUUCAUUUUUUAUGUAAUUAAGGAUAAGAUCCGCGAUCUGGAGCCUCGAUGGAACCUCACUUAACUUCCAACUCAUCACCUCAUUUCCUUGAACUACAUGUGAUCUGAUUCCCUUACAACCCGGGAUAUGUAGGAUGUCAAAAACCAAGACUCGGUUGCAUAUUUUUAUUUAUUUAUUUAUUUAUUCAUUCAAAGAAGAGUCCAGUCAAAAUUUGUCACUCUGUUUACUUCUUUGUCUGAAAACUCUUCGUGUUUCCUGUCAAAGAAGGGCAAACUGUAGACACGUAAUUAAAUAUUAUUUAUGAUAUUACUUGGGUUACAAGUAAACUUGGGCCAUAAGUAAGAAAUAAUUAAUAAUAAUUCUUACAGCUCACGCCUCUUAUUUCAUUGUUGAUAUACUAAAUAAAUCUCUUGCUUUAAUUUAUUAUGUAUCGUAUUAACUCAUUAGUAAAUACUAGUACUUAACCGGCCAUUGCGUAAAAUGAAAUGAAUCAAUUAAUUAAUAACACUAAUUACUAGGUAGAUAUUGUGGUUGGUAAUUAAUUAGAAUAUACACAAAAACAUCCCGAUUAUCAAUAGUUCUUUUUUAAUACUUUAUACUACUUACUUCAUAUAUAUAUAGAAAGAAAAAAAAGAGAAAGAUCUAUAUAUGCACAGAUUUGGGGACAAGGACAUUUACCAAAGCCAUGUAAAUAAAUUAAUACUCCCGUUUUCCAGAAUUGUCAAAAUAUUACUACAAAAAAUACGUGUUGGUUGGUAGGAAGAUAUAUAGAAUUAUAGAUAGAUAAAUAUAUCUUCGUCAUCAGUCAAAUGGCGUGAUCGGGUUGUGACAUGUUCCCAUGACUAUAUGCAGUUAAUCUACAUCCAAAUAUCUACAAUCAUUCAUAUAUAUUUAAUUUAUUUUAUUUUGAAGAUAUGUAUUGUCAUAAAAAAACAAAUUAAAUAUGUAAGGAUUAUAUAUUACUGUAUUUAGAGAGUUCAAGUUUUUUUUAAAAAAAUAGGAGUAUAUAUGAUUUAGCAACAUUUUUACAUUUUAAAACAUAAUGUAAAAAUUUAUUGUAUAGAAGUAUGAUUUGAAGUCAUACUCAAAACAUUUAAGGUACAGAAGUAUCAUUGUAGUCAUAAUCAAACAUUUUAUAUGAAAUGUUGUCAUAAAAAGCUAAACUAAUUAAAAUAAAAUAAAAAUUAAAAAUAAGACGAUCAAAUUAAAAUAGAGGUAAUACUUACUUUUUUGUGCAAUUUGUAAAAAGAAUUACAGAAUAAGAGGAUCCUAUUAUGUUAUGAACCAUACACGAGUGAGUUGAUUGGACCAAUUAACAACUAAUAUUUCCUUUUUAAAGAAAUAAUAAUGGUGUUUGUUUUUCAGAGGAAAAAAUGAUUUGAUGCUAAUAGUACUAAUUAAUAAUAUUUUUAAAAAUAUUUGCACUGAACAGGUUACAAAGGAAUGCCAUCAAUAAUCAUGGAUUAUAUUCUUCUUUAACAGCUCAUAAAAGUUGAAACUCGUCUAAAGAAGAAGAACCAGUACACUUACAUAAUUUAUAUUAUUCCUUCUUUUUUUUCACUUCAUGAUUUACAUGAUUGCUCAAUCCUUAUGACUGAGCCAUUAAUUAGUUUUAUUACUGAGUUUACAAGUUAAUAUACAUAUAGAUUCAUUUAAUUUACUAAUACAAAUACAAAAUUUAUGAAAAAAUUAUUGGAUUUGUUCAAAUUCAUGAACCCCACCUAGUUGUGCCUCUAAUUGUAGCGCCAAAUUUUAUCUACCUACUUUAUGUUGGUAACUUUCAAUUAGUUGAAUAAUUCAAUUAUCUACCAUUUGUAAUAAUCAGAAAAAAGAAGACCAUACACAUAGACUUACGUUGCUUGAUCGGCUAAAAGUGCUUUUCAUUGGUUUCCUGCAAUUUAUGAGGAGCAUAAUAGGUAUGUUUGAUACGGAGGAAAAUAUUUUUUUGUAUUCUAGAAAAGUGUUUGAUACAAAGGAAAACAAUUUUUUGUAUUCUAAAAAAAAAAGAUAGGGUAAACUUCCGCUCCUAGGAAAUAGCUCGCAAACCACAUAGGAGAGGUAACUCAUACUUGGCAAGCCUGGUGCGACGAGCUAGACCCAGAAGGCAAACUCCUUGCUUUCGUUGACAAGGAAUUUCGUACCUGAGACCUUCAACAUGGAAGUCCCAAGCCUUAACCUCGAGUUUGUGCAACAUAUUUCAUACUUCAAUAACAUUUUUUUGUUUUUGUAUUUCAAAUUGCGCUAGCUGAUGUUUUAAAUGUUUCAUAUUUUAAUCUAAAAAUAUAAUCGUUCAAAUGACAUUUUUCGCAUUUAAAAGUAUCAAAGAUAAUUAAUUAAUUUUAAAACGUUGAUUAAAAUUUGAUUAGCCAUUCAAAAAGUGAUGGUUUGGGACCUUUCUUCAUGAUUUUAGUAGUAGAAGAGUCUGGAAAAGGAACCCAACAAUGUAAUCCAAUGUGAAAACUAUGUGUUAGAAGAGUAUUGAAAUGUGGUAGUUGGUGUAUGGAUGAAAAAGUUGUCAAACAAUAUAGUACAAAAUUCCAUGAUCGAUAGCGAGGUACGUACAAUUAUAUUAUUAUCGAAAAAAUAAUAAUGUAACGAAGUAACAUCAUGUGGUCCUAGAAAAUACCUUCAUCUUUAAUUUGAUGACUAAUAUAUGCAUUCAUAACAUAACACAGAAUAAAGAUGAAGUAUUUUUUAUUGGAGGAGUUGUACUUCAACUCAAUGUGAUUGGUAGCUUAAAAAAUCAAGCGAGUUUGAUGAAUUUACUAAUUUGCAUUCUAAUUAGAUUAAUUAUUACUCUAUUUUUAAUUAUCAUGUUGCGCUUUUCAAAAGUCAAUUUGUCUAAUUUCAAAGUUAAAUUAGAUUGCAUUAAUUUGAUAUUUUUUUUAAAAAUAAUUAGAUAUUCAAAAACUAUACGAAAAGUACUAUAAACUCCAAUUUUUUACACAUCAAUAUGAUGAAAAAAUACAUUGAAAAAUGUUAGUUAAAAUUAUUAUCAUUUGACUCUAAAAAAAAGAAAACUAGAACAAUUAAAAGUAGACGGAGGUAGAAAGUAGCUAGAUUAUUCUUAUGUAGAAUAAUUAACCUAAAUAGCAAUUCACCUAAUCUAAUUCAUAAUUUAAAGUUUGUUAAUUCUGAAUUUGUAGGUAUAUAUUUAAAGAAUUUUUCGAUAAAUAUAAUUUUUUUGAGUAAAAUUACUGAAUAUUUUAUCGAAAGCAUACAUCACAUGCUAGCUUUGCCCAUGUAGACACAUAAAUAUGUAUAAUCUAUCAGUACUCUAACUCAUUGUUACAUGUUGUUUACUUCCAUUGUCAAGUAAAUCAAUUCCCGGUAUAUUGUGUAUAUAAAAUAAUACUUUCUCUUUCAAUUUAUGUGGCAUUUUUCGUUUUUCGAGAGUCAAACAGUUUAAGUUUGAUCGAAAAUUUGCGCAUGAAAUCUUCAAUUUUUUUGAAAUGAAAUUUAUAUAUUUAUAAACUACGUAAAAAGUACUAUAAGUCACAACAAUUGAUAAUUUAAAAUGUUUAAAAGAUCUAUGAAAAAAUUUACGAUCAAAGUUAAACUUGUUUGAAUCUCAAAAUCCAAAAAAUGCCACAUAAAUGGAACGAAAGGAAUACUAUAUAUAUAGUUAAAAAUAUCUUUUAAAAAUAUAUGCUAAGAGUUUUAAAUAUCAUUAAGAGAAUUCCUAACUUUGUCAUCGAUAGCGUCAUGGCAAACAUGUUGGUGUCAGUUAAUUAACUUGAUAGAGUUGGCUGUUUGGUUCACAAAUAAGUAAUCUACUGGAACUAUAAUAUGAAGACUACAAUAUUAUGAGAAUUAAAUAAUAAUAAUACUAUUGAGUGGAUGUACUUCUUACUUUCUUUAAACAAAAUAUUAUUGAGUUUAUUAAUUAGAUUAAACAUGAUAUUCACAAAUUGAGGUAUAAUAAUAAAACAUGCACAUGUUUGGUUUUACAAUCGGUAAACCUAAACAAAUCCACCCCCCACUACCAACCCACCCCCCCCCCCCCCCCCCCGAUUUUAGCAUUAUAUUUGAAGGAACAACCAUGUAGAAGGACAUUUAUGAUAUUUUAUUUUUAAAAUAUCUAAUGAAGAAUCAUUUUCUCGAAUUGAAUAUGGUAUAAACAAAAUAUUAUUAUAUACUCCCUCAAUCUCAAGUUACACUUUCCUUUUUAGUCUUUUCGAUUUUUUUUUUUUAUAUUUAUAAUAUAAAUAAUUUAAUUUUAAUUAAUUUUUUAUUUUUAAUAAAAUAAUUUAUAGUUAUGUAAUUAUCUUAAGUUAAUUUUAGAUUAAAUUUAAAAAAUAUUUUUAAAUUUUAUUAUAUGAAUUAUCAAGUUAAAAUGUAUCAGAUAAAUUGGAACGAAACAAAGUUGGGCUGAACGCGUGGGGAGCAGCGUUGGGGCAAUAUUAGUAGUUGUGAGAAGUGAAAAGAACUCUGAACCAUUCUUUAGUUGCUGUGCGGCUGCUGGUUUUCGUGCAUAACAUCUCUAGCUUUUUGUUAGUCAUUUGUGUAAUUUGUUGAACUCGGAGAGUGGUUUAGGAAUUUUUUAAAGUGGAUUAAUUUUAGAGGACAUUUUGGAUGUAAAAAUAUUGAAGUAACCACAAGUCCGUAACAUCUUUGUUAGUUCUCUCUAAUUAUGAAAAUAUCCAAAAAAGUAAAGUCAUAUCAAUUCGUAUCAAAAUCAGCCGUGCCAAAUAUAUAUAUUAUACUCCCUCCCUCUGUUUCUAAUUAUUUGUUCAUUUUUCCUUUUUUAGUUAUCUCUAAUUACUUGUUCAUUUGUCACAUUUUGACAAAUCAAGAAAUGAUAGUUUUUUUUACCUAUUAUACCCUCAAUUAAUUACUUUGAAAAAAAGUAGAAAUUCUUCAAAAUCUUAAGUUUAUAAUGCAUCUACUUCAUAAUUAAUAGGGGUAAAAUGGUAAACUCACUAUAUUAAUAAUUAUUUUUUAAUAGGUAUGUCAAUUUAAAAGUAGACAAGUAAUUAGAAAUAUAGAGUAUAUAUAUAUAUAUCUUCUUUUUGGUGGAUUUGAAGAGCCAAAUCAAACUUUCAAAUCAAAAGCAGAUGGACCAAUUGAUAAAAACCAAGAAAAAAAUGGACCAAUUAAUGGUGAGUGUUCGAUUAUGAACAAAUUAAAGGAAACUCUAUCUCUAUCUAAUAUCAAAUUCUGGCCAAAUUUUCUUCCCAAAAAGAUUUUUCCAUAAAAUAAAUAUAUGGUGUCUCAUCAACCCUCUACUGGCCUGACAUGUGCCUCAUUCUCAUCAAUUGGUCUGACUCUUAGUUAUUCUUUCUAGUACGAACCAACCAACUAAACUUAUCUGAAAAUCAACUACUUGAUAUUUAUGAGUUCGGAGUCUAAAUAAGUCACAAAAAAAUAAAAAUAAUUAAAAUAAGUCAUUAUUUUAGUAAAUAACGAAAAUAGGUUUAGUGAAAGAAAAAAUUCUACUUUAUAUUUUAAUAUAUAGCGAAACUAUUUCUUACACAUUGUAAAACGGAACUAUUUCGUACACUUUAUAAAGUGUAAGUUUUUCUUACACUUUGUAAAGUGGAACUAUUUCUUACACUUUAUAAAGUGGAAGAAAAAAUUAUGUUUUAAGGAAUAUUUUUCACGUUUUGCGUACUCUUUAUGAAGCUUUUGCAGUGAUUGUCAUAUAAUUAUAUUGAUUUGACAUAUCAUAAAAAUGAAAAAAAUUAUUACAUUAUGUAUUUUUAUUUUUUUAUUCUGAAAACUCCUUCAAGAAAAAUCCUCCAAUCUCUAUUUAAGGAGGAUGUUCAAACAUAGUUGAUAGCACCUACAACAUAAAGUCUUCUAUAUUUGUUCAUUUCAAUCUCAAAAAAAAAAUGUCUUCUAAACCAAAAGUUAGAGUUUCGAUUUAUUGGGAUGGCGAAAUUAUACAUGACGGAAAUACCGUUUAUUAUAAUUGUCCUCCCAAACACAAUGCUAAAUAUUCAAUUAAUGUCCGAUAUCAUAAAUUUUUUUCAUCAAUUUAUAAAACAAUGGGUAUAAAUAGUACUGAUUAUAAUUUGAUUAUAGUCGAAAAAUACCCUACUUCAUUUUUAUCACAAGGACAAUUAAGUUUGGAGAGUGGAUUAUCUAUAAUGACGACCGACUUUUUGAGGGUUCCAAAUGGCUACAUAGAUCAAAUCAAGUUAACAAUACUUGAAAUCUAUGUUAGAAAGGAGCCUAAGACUAGCCAACAACGUUUUCCUUUAUCGGUCGAUGUCCAUCCCCGAUUAGAAAAUCGCAAUAGCUGUCACGCCCCGAGCCUACACCCUGGGCGGGACCGGCACUCGGAGACCAUUGCUGGCCCCAAGAGAACCCUUGGCCUGGCUUUCUUAACUCAGCGGAAACGUAACUUAACAGCACAACUCAAUGCAAUGAAAGGUUAAAAAACAACCAACUGAUGCAUAAUAUGCCAAAAGGCAGCUCGAGUCUCAAAAUAAAAUAUCUACAUAAAUACAUAGAUGAGAGACUCAAUACAACUGACUGACUGUUUGUCUAUGAAGCCUCUAANNNNNNNNNNNNNNNNNNNNNNNNNNNNNNNNNNNNNNNNNNNNNNNNNNNNNNNNNNNNNNNNNNNNNNNNNNNNNNNNNNNNNNNNNNNNNNNNNNNNNNNNNNNNNNNNNNNNNNNNNNNNNNNNNNNNNNNNNNNNNNNNNNNNNNNNNNNNNNNNNNNNNNNNNNNNNNNNNNNNNNNNNNNNNNNNNNNNNNNNNNNNNNNNNNNNNNNNNNNNNNNNNNNNNNNNNNNNNNNNNNNNNNNNNNNNNNNNNNNNNNNNNNNNNNNNNNNNNNNNNNNNNNNNNNNNNNNNNNNNNNNNNNNNNNNNNNNNNNNNNNNNNNNNNNNNNNNNNNNNNNNNNNNNNNNNNNNNNNNNNNNNNNNNNNNNNNNNNNNNNNNNNNNNNNNNNNNNNNNNNNNNNNNNNNNNNNNNNNNNNNNNNNNNNNNNNNNNNNNNNNNNNNNNNNNNNNNNNNNNNNNNNNNNNNNNNNNNNNNNNNNNNNNNNNNNNNNNNNNNNNNNNNNNNNNNNNNNNNNNNNNNNNNNNNNNNNNNNNNNNNNNNNNNNNNNNNNNNNNNNNNNNNNNNNNNNNNNNNNNNNNNNNNNNNNNNNNNNNNNNNNNNNNNNNNNNNNNNNNNNNNNNNNNNNNNNNNNNNNNNNNNNNNNNNNNNNNNNNNNNNNNNNNNNNNNNNNNNNNNNNNNNNNNNNNNNNNNNNNNNNNNNNNNNNNNNNNNNNNNNNNNNNNNNNNNNNNNNNNNNNNNNNNNNNNNNNNNNNNNNNNNNNNNNNNNNNNNNNNNNNNNNNNNNNNNNNNNNNNNNNNNNNNNNNNNNNNNNNNNNNNNNNNNNNNNNNNNNNNNNNNNNNNNNNNNNNNNNNNNNNNNNNNNNNNNNNNNNNNNNNNNNNNNNNNNNNNNNNNNNNNNNNNNNNNNNNNNNNNNNNNNNNNNNNNNNNNNNNNNNNNNGUCUUGCGACUCUUUACUUAGCUUGAAACUCUAAGCUCUUUGCUUGACUUGAAACUUGAGUCUUAAAAUGAAGUUAAGACGUUCAAUAAAGACUCUUGAACAACCUUGAGAACUUGCUUGACUUACUUCUUAACUCUUGAACUUAACUCUUGACUUUUAACUAACUCUCCUUGAAUUGGAUUUAUGGAUUCAAGGUGUUUGAUCACAUGUUACGGAUGAGUUCGGGAGGUUUAAAUGUACCUUAGAGUGUUGGAAACAACCAUACAACAUAGGUACAAUACCAAGAAACAUGCAUGGGAAGGUAGGAAAUGAAAUGGAUCACUUGGGGUCCUUGGCGCUCUGCAAGGCGCGUAGCGCCAGCCCUAAAAAUUCAGAGGGGUCUUGCUGGCGCUCUGAUAGGCGCGGCGCCCCAAGGGGGAAAGUUCAGAACCCCUUCUGGGGCGCGCUGGCAGGCGUGACGCGCCAACCCCCUCUCCCAGAAACUCGACAUUUCUCCCUCUUUUCUUCAACUCUAAACCAUCCUUACUUCAAUGGAUCUAACCCCAAACACUAAGGAUCAUCAAUCUCGCAACAUACAAUAGAUUACAACUCAAAUACACAACCCAAUCAUGUCCCACAACUAACAAUAAUUUCAACAACAACAACUAACCACUUCAACAACUUCCACAACUUCAACAACAAAUUCAAUCUUUUCUCAAAUCAUAAAAAGGAGCUUGGUGUGUGGGGGAAAGGAUCCACCCACACAAAGAACUCACAUACCUUGAUAGGGAUCACCCCCAACGAAAAUCCACGAUGAUCUUGACGAACCUUGUUGCUUGAUCUUCUCUUCCUCCUCUUCUUCUCUUCUUCUUCUCUUCUUCUUUUCUUCUUCUUCUCUCAAGCCCUAGCUUUCACUCUUUAAAAUGGGACAAAAAAUGAUCCACAAUCAGCCCAACACAAAAAUAUAACCUCAAAAGAAAUAGCUAGGGAAAAGACCAAAAUGCCCUUAAAUGUCCGGACGGAUUCCCUGCCAACUGCCCAACUUUUAAAGGACUUAACUCACUCAUACGAACUCAGAAUUGAGCAAACUCGGUGGCGUUGAAAAGAUCAAUCCAAGGGCUUUCCAAAAAUAACUGGAACUACUCCUAACUCAUCCUGAGUUAGGAGUUAUGACCGCUCAAAGUUGGCCAAAAACUCACUGAUUUCCACACUUAACCAAAUUUCCAGAUUUUCAUUUUUAUUCCAAAAUUGACUAUUUUCGAUUUUUAAGCCUCUUCAUAGAUAUUUCAAGAUGUUACAAUAGCGUUGAUGGAUUUACGAUAACUCAAUCUACUGAUUUUUCUAACAUGACUCAUUAUCAAAAUAUUCUUUUCUAUCGAUAUUAUUUUGAUUUGAACGAAACUAUAGUAAUGCUCAAUAAUUAUAUUUUGAUUAUUAUUUAUUAAUUUAUAUGAUUUAUUAUUCUUAUUAUUAUAUAUAUUAUAGCGGUUUACCUCAGAGAGAUAGGAAUAUUGCUCCAAGUUAUGGACUAGAUAAUUAUUUUGAUCAAUCCUCACACUUUGAAAUGACGAAAAAUGUUGGGACAUCCUCAAAUUUUCAUGUCUCGCCUACUUUUGAUGCAGAUGAUUAUCAAUAUAUCUAACACUUGAUUUUUUAUUUAAGUAAGUUAAUUGCAUGAGACAAAUAUUUAUACUUUUUUUCUACAUAUAUAGGGAAAAUAUCACACAAGAUGAGCCCAUUGAUCCUGUGAAUAUCGAUGAUCAUGACCUUUCAAAUUAUGCCUCACCUUCAGCUAGUGAUAGUGAUGAUUUGCCUAAUGCUAAGGAAUAAGGAGAUAAUGUUCCAUUUGAGGCAUCAUCUAGUGAUGAUGAUUUUUUUAUGCCCAAUCGAUCGCCAAGACCAAUGUCCAUGAGUCCGUUUCGUAAUCAUGAAAUUCCUUAUCUUGAUCAUCUCCCAGGUGGUCCAGAUAUCUUUGGCGAUACACAUGAUGAAUAUACAUCACAAUGUACGUGGUAUGAACCAGAAGAUUUCAUGAAUGAUGCUAUUUAUAUUGAAAAAUGCAUGUUAUUCAAUUCAAAGAAGCAGUUGCAAAGAGCAGUUAAGCUUUUACGUUUAAAGAUAGUGAGGGACUACUUUGUUAUUAAAUCGACAAAGAAAUCAUGACGACUUGUUUGCAGGCAUGUAGAACAAGGAUGUCGAUUUAGGCUGACUUCUUUUAAUGAUAAAACAUACUAACAUGUGGAAAGUUGGAAGAUACAUUAAAGAACAUACAUGUGAUAUGGGUACGUGCCGUGAUGGACAUUUUAACUUGGAUGUUGAGAUGAUUGCUAACGUCCUCCGUGUUGAUAUAAGGAAAACGCCAAGGUACUUAUUUUAUCCUUAGAUGAUUUUUCUUUAAUAAGAAAAUAUUUAUUUUUUUAUUUGAUAAUUAAUAAUAUUUUUACUUUUCAGGUUUUCCAUCAAAGACUGUCAAACAGCCAUUCUUAAAGCAUAUGACAUUUCGAUAAACAGAAGAAAAACCUAUCUUGGUCGCAAACGUGCUUUUGAAAAUGUCUAUGGUACUUGAGAGGGUUCUUUUGCCGAGUUGUCGAGGUUCAUGAAAGCUUUGAAACACUUCAAUCCUGGAACAAUAGUUGAAUGGAAAACAGAGCGGCGUGUCAAUGUCAUUGAAGAUGUUUUCAAAUAUGUGUUCUAGAGUUUAAAACCAUGCAUUGAUGGGUUUGUGUUGUGUCGUCUUGUUAUAUCGAUCGAUGGAACACAUGUCUAUGAAAAAUAUGAUAUCAAGUUGUUGAUGGCGAUUAACCGCUUCGUAUACAAAUAAAAUUAUUAUUGAUUUACUUUUAUAUAAUUUACUUUUAUAUGUAAUUUAUAUUUAUUAAAAAAAAAAACUAGUAAAGAGUUGCAAAAAUUAUUUGAUGUACCUGAUCCUCCGUCAUGCGGUUUAGCUGAUCUCUAAUUGGGAUAAGAACAUGAUGUGACUCAGUAUUCCUAUCAAUUUCACGCGUCCAACGCCUAGCAUGUGGAAGUAAUGCGUCACCAUCAUGUGGCGGAGGAGCUGAUGAUUGUACAAGCAAGAUCCUCUCCCAACACCAAACCUUAAUGUGACAAACAAAAUAAUUAAACUAUCAUUAGUAACAAAAAAAAAUUAACAAUUAUAUAUAGAGCAACUUUCACAUAUAGCAAACAUAAAAUCAUAUUUGUAUAAUAAGAUCUGUAUUUGUAUAAUUAUAAGUGUAUAUGAUGAAAAUAUAUGUAUUUGUAUUUGUAUAUACAUUUUUCUCUCGCUUUAUACAAGCACAAACACAUUUUAUACAUUUUAUACAGAAAUGUAUAAAAUGACUAAUUGUAUAUCAAAAAUGGCUAAUUGUAUACCGAAUCAUAUGGCAAAAAGAGGGGAUGUUUGUUGCGAAUUACAAAUAAAAUAAACUAUGGCUAUAACAUUUAAUUUGAAUUAAUAGUUUGCUAUUUCAUACAAUUUUUCCUUAUAUAUAUAUAUAUAUAUUUUAUUUUUUUUAAUAGUUUUUAGAAAUUAUUUGUAUGCAAUUUAAAUAUUUUAAAAAAUUGAAUAUAGAAAAUAUAUUCUUGUACGGGGUAAUGUUAAAGAUUCUUUGUAUUUGAAUGUAUUUUAAAAGUUUAGUGAAGUUACCUGAAGGAGAGGAAUAAAUCCGCAAAUGUCAACCACAUUAUCGAUAGAUGCCCGACAAAGUGCACGGUACAAGUAGGCCAACACUGCAUUGCCCCAACUGUACUUACCUACGUCGUGGAUGGUAUCUACAAACGCCAAGUAUUGUAAGGUAAUAAGGUUCCCCGACGUGUUCGGAAAUAAGAUGCCCCCCAAUAUAACAAACAUGUAAAGUCUAGCAAUCUUCUCAACCCGCUCCACUGGAGUAGCAUCUCCUAUCGAAUCUACUUGUAACUGAUCUUGCAAGUAGCCGGUAAUGCUAUGUAUCCUCACCCGACUCACAUUAUCCAUAUCAGUAGGUGCUAUGGCGCAUCCUGUGAGUGUCUCUAAUAAAGUACGCCAUGGACGAAUCCUCCGUGCAGCAUCCUGCAUGUACACAUCAUCACCAUGGAUGCGCAAACCAAAUAAGACCUGCACAUCCUGCAAUGUAAUCAUGACCUCACCAAAAGGUAAGUGGAAGCAAUAAGUCUCUGGCCUCCAAUGCUCAACCAUAGUUGUAGCAAGGGCACUGUCAUACUUCAUCUUGCCCACACAAACUACAUCAUACAGUCCGAACCUACGUAAGAUCUCCUCAAUUAUUCCAAUAGAUGGUUCCUUUUUAACCUCUCCCUAUUUGUUGCCAUUAUCAAUCUUUAUGCAACAUUUUUCAUGGGGAAAAACAUAUAUUCACUUUAAGACAUUAUGAUAUAGCUUGGAAAAUAUAUAAUGACCUUAUUUAGGUUCCGGACUCUACAUGAUGUAAUCGUAAGGACUCUCAAUUAUUAAAUAUAAAAAAAAACAUGAGAUGGAAAAGUGUAAUUCAACAGUAGCGAAAUACUAUUUUUACAAUACCAAUCCAACAGUGUAAUUCCUUUUGUUUCUUUCGAAUUAAAGACUUCUUUUUUCUAACUCAAUAUUUAGUAAUUGAAUGCACAUUGUAUAAGGCUUGCUGAAAUUUUGAACAAAUUACAACAUCAUUUCAAAGUAAUGAAAAUAUGAGAUAGGAAAAAAAACAACCUAAUUUAUAUAAUUUGUAGGGUCGGAUUGUUAUGUUGUCGGGUUGUGCUACUCCAAUCUUUCAAGAUUUUGAUUUUUUAGUGUGGGGCCGCUUUAGUCGGAUUGGGACCAUCAAAUGUUAAUCUUCAAAGUGAUAAAACGUUUGGAAGCCAUGAAAGUGAAAGGGGAGAAGAAGAAAGUGAAAAGGUUAAGUAACUUUUUAUAAAGUGUAAGAUUUUCUUCCACUUUAUAAAGUGUAUGAAAAAGUUCUACUUUACAAAGUGUAAGAAAAACUUACACUUUAUAAAGUGUAAGAAAUAGUUACGUUAUAUAUUAAAAUAUACACGUUAUGAGACUAAUGGAAAACGUUUGAAAUAUUGGAUAAAGUGAAUUUUUUUCUUCCACUAAGCCUAUUUUAGUUACUUACUAAAAUAGGGGCUUAUUUUGGUCACUUUUAUCUUUUUGUGGCUUAUUUAGGUUCCGGACUCGAUAUUGAUAUUCAUACAAAAGAGAAAUGGCAGAAUCUUAUUUCAUACAUGUUUUCGUUAAAAUUAAAACGUUUCAAUGUAUAUUUUAAUAUUAAGAUAUAAUUAAAAUAUAAAAAUUUGAAUCUAAUAAAUAUAUCAUCAGAAUAUUAAGAUGUUACAUUACAAUCUAAAUACUAAACAAUGUAUAUUGUUUUUCCAUACUAACAAUUGAUGGACAAUUAUAUAGUAUAGUUACUUUCUCUCUCUAUAUAUAGUUGGAACGAACGAAAAAACUCGAAAUUGGAAUGUAGAGUUGGCUAACAAAUAUUGUGAUAGAUUGCCAAAUAUACUAUAUGUCUCAUUUAACUUGGUCUCAACCUGUCACAUCAAAUUAAUUAUUUUUUUCGUAUCAAUUUUUCGGAUGCACUUUGAUUGAAUAUAAAUUUAUUAAGAAAAAAAGGACAAAAAUUUUAAAUUUUAUAACUUAAGAUAAAUCAUGAGAAUUUGUAUAACUAUAUAUAAAUUAUCACAUUAAGAAAUAUUGUCAUUUUAAAAAGAUACAUCACAUUAUUUGGAACAAAAUGGACCAACUUUCAACUCAAACACGCCCAAUUGGCACUUGGCAGUAGAAAUGUGGAGGAAUGGACAAAGAAGAGGUCAUUUAAUUUGAAUUUAAUUUUCCCUCAUUCACAUGGCUCCAAUUAAUUAACGGCGCAAAUGUUCAUUAGAGAGAAAAUGAAAGGUUAAUUAAUGAGUAAGACUUAUGAUUGACAAAAAUGGAGCUAAAUUAUCAAAACAAAAUCUUGCUUACACAUAUAUCUAAGUGGUAGGCACGAUUCUAUGAAAGCUACACAUUUCUUACUUAUUUAUUGGAUUAGAUUUAUAUUUAUAAUCACUAUCUCCAAUAUUAGUUACCACGUUGCUUAAGGGACCAGUAAUUGUGUUUCUCAAUAUCAUUCAUUACAUUCACAGUAUUUGUAAACUAAAUUUACAUGUUAACCCUCGACCAAUUAAUAUUGCUUCAUAUGGUUAAUGGUAGACUAGAAACCAUCUAAGGAUGUGGCAUAGUGAAUGCGUCUGUUUUUCUCUUAGCAGAGAGUGCUUUUCUCGAAUGAGGCCUAUAUAAUACGAAUCUAGAUUAAUUGGGCUUCAAUUCGUAUACCAUACACUUAAUGAAGAACCAAACAAAAUGUGUAUUAAAGAAAUGUAUCUUGGGCGUAACUUAAUUGCAAAGCCAACUUAAUAAGGAGAAGAUUGUCAAAGACUAUAUAAGAAAAUCAUAUCUCAUCCUUAUCAUCCGAUAUAAGAUUAUUCAACAACACUUACUUCAUUCCGUUAGAUAAAGUGUGGAUAAUUUAACAUGGGCACUCAAUAUCGAUAAAUAAUAUUGGAAUGAACUAUAUUCAGAAACCAUAUAAAGAAAUAAUUUUUGAAUCUAAAUCAAAAUAAAAAAUUAAUUUAUUAAAAACUAAAUUAUUCAAAAUUAGAAAACCACUCAUUUUUUUUCCAUUCAACGUUGAACUCUCCCACAGUUUUUUGAGGUAGUUUCAAAACUAAAGCAAUAUAAUAAGAUGGUUAUUUAAAUUCCAAAUUAAAAUAAAUGGAUUUGCUGGUUGAACUCGAUUGGCACCUGUUAUAAAGUGAUUACGACUUGGGUAGCUUUCAGGCAGACAAGACGAUCUAAUAUAAGAUUUUUAAUUAAUUUAAAUAUUGUCUACAUUUUUAUACGAUCAAUAUAGUCUAAUAUAAUAUAUAAUUUACACUUAUUAUGUUUAUUGGGGUGAUCAAUUGUUAUUAAUUUAUCAUUAAAAUGUUUAUGAUUUUAUGUUUUAGUUACAAGUAGCUUAAUGGUAUAUAUUAUUUUAUUUUGCACUGUUACGUCAAUAAUCAAUUAGCACCAUAUCUGAUCUACUGUUAAUGCGAGAUUGUAGAUUCGAGCGGAUAUCAAACACCUAAUGAAAAAAGUGGAAAAAAAUGUCUAAAAACACCAUGUUUUGCUUUUUCUUUUUUUAGGAGGGACGGUGGACAGAAAAAGAAAAAGAAUAUUUUUGAGAAAAUCAAUCGUCAUUAAAUGUUGAUAUUCUAUUGAUCAAUACACUAUCUUAUCCAAUCUAAUUCGAUUCCUUUUCUCUUAAUUUUGUUGAUGAGGAAUAAAAAAAAAUGGUUUAUAAUAUUGUCAAUUAAGCUCAUGAGUACGGGUGGAGCUAUAUGGGGUUCGUGAGUUUGGAUGAAUCUACUAAUUUUUUCGUAGAUCCUAUAUUUGUAUUAGAAAAUUAAAUAAAUAUAUAUGUAUAUUAACUUGUGAACCCCAUCAAAAAAUUGAUUGACAGCACAACGAUAAAAAAUGAACGGUGAAAAUAUUUUUCCCUAGACUCUUAAUCCUGACUCCGCUUUUGCUCAUGAGAAACAGGUAGAAAUCCCAAACCCUUUUUCUUAUAUCUGCCAAUUGUCAAACUACAUAUCCAUUUUAGGUAAAUGAGCAAAUCACUAAUAAUUAAUUAUUCUACUGUGUAACAACAUUAGUCGUCUUUCUUGGCAUAUUACAUUACAACCCUUCUAGAAACAGUUUAUUAGAUUAAUCGAGGUUAUUUUGGAAGUUUUUACGGAUUGGCAAAUCAAGUUGUUUAAAUUAGGUAUUGAAACGGGUUAUUACAUUUAAUUAUUAAGAGGGUUACAUCAGCUUUUUUCGAUCAAAAUGUGCAUUUUUCAGCCAGGUUUAUAUUUACCUAGUCUUUUGUUAGACGAUUUUUUUAAUGUGAAAAGUGACUUUGGUGUUAUAAUAUCUCUCUCUAUAUAUAUGCACUUUUAAGGACAUAAUAUUGUGUUUCCAUGUAUGCAUGUACCUACAUUUUUUCAGAACAUAUUAAAUACAAGCAUAAUUAAUAUAUAAUUACGGUCUAUGGUAUAAAAGUUGGAUAAACAUGUAACAAUGUUUUUCGACUUAUAUAUAUCAUUCAGAUAUUCCUAUUCAAGAUGAUAUACAGCUAUAUAUAUGUACCUACCUGAAAAAUUAUAUUACACAUAGAAUAAUCUUUUAACAAAUAGUAUUUUUUUAAUACUAAUUCAGAAUUACGGGUAUGAGUCACUUUUCUAGAUCAUCACAAAGCAAAACGUAAUCUUCAAUCCCGAAAAAGACAUAUAUUGACAUAUAUCAAUAUUUAUUUCUUUAUAUGGUAAAAGCAUAUAGUCUUAAAAAUCUAGCUAUAUACGUACCUAAAUUAAAUGUCCCUCUCUGAGAGUGAGACAUACAUAUACAUAUACUAUUUUGAUAAUGAUUAAUAAGAGUUCUAAGAUAAUUAUUGAAGAGAAAUUUUGUCCUUGCCUAAAAAUUAUAAUGUUAAUCUUGCAUUCCUCAAUAAAUAUAUUGUUAAUAUAGUGAUAUAUAUGUGUGUAUUAUAAGUAUAUUUGUAAUAUCACAUUAUCUCAAUGUAAUAAUAAUAAUAAUAAUAAUAAUAGUGUAUAUAUCGUCAUAAAUAUUAGAAAAAUGGUUUCUUAAUUAAAAUAGGAAAAACACGUUAUGUAAGUGAAAUUGCAAGUUCAUUAUCUCUUUCUCGCCCAUUCUUUUGACAAUCCCAACUCCCACCAUCUCAACCUCCAUAGGUUUUGCUAGAUUAUAACGUAACAUAUAGAUACUCAGAUGAUUAUUUUUUUCUUACUUGCAAAAAAAAAAUGAAAAUAGUAAAUAAGAAACUCACUUUAUAAUAUUUUCCAUGAAAACCAGCUUUAUCUCCAUACCAAACAAACCCCAAGAUGAUGAAGUAAUAGUACAUAUGAUGACAUAUAUUGUUUAUUUAAAUUAUAAUUAAUCAUCACAUGAAAACCUUAAUUAUACCACCUUAGAUAUUCCAGUUUUUCCUUUGGUAAUUAUUGGUUGAGUUCAUUAUCAGAGGAUCUUCAAUAAUAUAAUUAAUUAAUUGGUUAAUUUGGCAGACAACCCUUAUCUUCUUUCUCCUAAAUUAGUUCUUUUCUCUUUAGUUAUUUUUAUUUUAAGGUUCUGUCGUUUUAUAUUCAAGCCAUUAUUGUCUCACCAUCUUAUAUACUUUUAUCUGUUCACUUUUACUUGUUCAGUAUUUUGAAUAUAACAUUUUCAUUUUGCCAAAAAUAGAUUUCCAAAGCCUAAGACUAUAUAUACAUCAAUUAAUAUGAAUGUUAUGUUAAAAUAUUUAUAUCAAUCAUUAUUUUUAAUGGACAUACGAGAUUCAAAGUGAAUAAGUAAAAGUGAACCGGGAGAUCAAAGAGUAACUUAAAUCCUUUUAUUAUAUAGGUAGUAAUAUUUAUUAGGGUUUUGAGGACUGCCAGCAUCAAAGUGUAACAUUGAUUAUGUCCCUAAAUCUUUCCACUAAUUUAAAAGUACAGCUCUGUUUUAUGUUGCAUUUUUAAAUUAUUUUUUUCUUCUUGGCUUGCUAAAAGUAGAUAGCAAUAUGUGGCAUACUACUAUAUUUAGAUAAUGUGAAACCAACCAGAAUUGAACACAUAAAAGCAAAUUAAUAAUGAAAGUUUCAGCAAAUACUGGAAAAGGAUUAUUAUAAUUAUUAUGUUAUUAUAUAUAUAAAAAUAAAUAAAAGUAUAUGUUUAGCUUAAGUUUGAAAUCAGCAUCCAAAACUUGACACGUGUUGACGUGGGUACCAAAAUUAACACAAAAAAAGAAAGUGGACUCUUGCUGGAUUAGGUUUCAACUUUCAAGUUUGAAAGUCUUCUCCAAAUCCAAGGAACUAAAUACUAAAUUCGUAGAAUAUUUGCUGCUUUUAGGGCAACAAAAUUUAAAGUAGAUACUUUUGAUGACUAAUAAUAAUUUCUUCCAACCAAAAAUCAACACAUCCACCUCAUUACUUUCCUAGAAUAGUAUUAUUACCUGACCCUAAUAAUAAUAGUCAAUUUAAUCAAUCUUCUCGAAAGUGCAACUUACUUAUUUCUAAAAAUAAAAUUGAUUUAGAGAGUUGAGGUGUUCGAUCGAAUUUAUAAAAGUUUUUGAAUGGUAGUAAAACUGUUUUUCAAAAACUAAAAAAGUAAAUAUUUCGAAUUACUUUGGAAUCAUGACCAAGUUCAACAUAGUUUAAUUAUAAAAAAGUAAAAAGUAUUUUUGAAUUUGAUUAGCCAAAGAAAAAAACAAAAUAAGCGGAUUCUCAAGUUUCACCUAACGACUAUAACUUAGUAAUAAGUAUUACCAUGUUGUAACGACCGGGAUCCGCGAUUUCGUCGUUAUAGAAAAGUCAACGGGAAAAUUUUUUGGGUCGGAAAACUUUUUCGUAGUAACUUGGAAUUUCCCAACCUAAUCCAGAUUUGGACGAAAUCGGAGUCGUUGAGGUGUAGGGAAAUCUGGUAGCAAUCGAGUGACUUAUUUAUGAUUUUGAUUAUAUGAGUAGUUAGAUAAGUCGUUAAGGAAUCCGUACGACUUUACGGAAUUGAAUUCGGGUGAGUAGAACUCCCGGAAUCGAUCUUAGCGUGAACGGUAUUUUCUGAGCGUCGUUGGUUGAAGGUGUGUUGUGGAAUGAGCGUCUUGGAAUUAUUAAAAUAGCUCACUGUUUCGUGCAAGCCGCUUUGGCGGUGGUUUUGGUCACUCUGGCGGUGCCGUUGUAGUGGGGUGAGGGCCCCUGUGGCAGGCCAGACGCGACUUAAAGUCGUAAAUAAACCCCAAAACGACUUUAUUCUGCACUUUUUGACUUUGAGAGCUAGGAGACGACCUCAUACGAGUUAUUGACCGUUUUUCACCAUUCUUGAAGCUAAAGGUAAGAUUUUAACUCCUCGAAUCUAUUUUUCGAUCCGUAGAACGUAAUCUAAUAGGUAAAUAUUGAUGGGGGAGGGUUUUGAUCCAUAAUCUAUGGUGGAAGCAACCCUAAUUGGGAUAAUUGGGAUCAAGGGUUUGAUCUAGGGUUCAUAAAAUUGUUAGUAAUCCGGGUAAUUAGUGAUUGUUUAUUGAUUCCCGUAUUAUAUUGAUUGUUGUAGACCAAGUACAAGCGGAACAAAUCCGAAAAAGGAAGGAAUAAGUUUCUUAGGGUUUCAAAGCUUGUUUCGAGGUACGUGAUGGUUGUGAUUCUAUGAUUGUGUGAUGUAUGUGUGUUCUUGCUUCAUUAUGAUACUUGUAUGUAUGUGAAUGUUGCAUUAUUGAUCACGCUUGUUGUAAAUGAGAUAGAGGAUUGAUGAAUGCCAUGAAUCAUGACUAAAUUGUAUGAACUUGAGAAGAUAGUUGUGAUUGUGAUUGUGAUUGUGGUAUGUUGAAUGGAUCCGUUGCCACGUUCCGGCAUAACUAAUUGGGAUAUGUUGCCACGUUCCGGCAUAAUUAUGGGAUCGAUUGUCACGUUCCGACAUAAACAUUGGAUCGGGUACAACAUUUUGGCAUAAGCAUUGGACCGGGUACCGCAUUUCGGUAUGCUAACAGUUUGGGUUUGAGUUCCAUAAGAGGACCAAUGACUUGUCAUAAUUGUGUAUCUUGAGAAAUUUUAAGUUGUUUGUUGUUCAUAAAUAAUGUUGAUAAUAUUAUAUAUGUUCGAUAUAUGUAUGUGGUUAUAAUGUUGUAUUGACUUGCUUAUGUUACACUUAGUGGGAUAACCGCGUGAUCCUACCAGUACACUGUGGUUGUGUUCUGAUACUGCACUUGCUCUUAUUUUUGUUGAGUACAGGGCAUCUUCCGGCGGCUAUUGACAGGCCUCGCUUAGAAGAUCAGUGAUCAUCGUUCGAAUUCAAGGGUGAGCCAAUUCUUCCGGGCUGCCAUGGGUUCUCUUUCGUCUAUGUCCAUAUUUCGGACUUAGACUUUUCUAGUUAGUUAUUAGUGCAUUAGUUUGGGGUUGUAUCCCUUCUUGUUUAGACUUGUUGUACUUUAGAUGUUUUGGUACAUUGACUUUCAGGUUGUAGGUGUAUUUUCCGCAUUGUUUAGUUGUUCGAUCUUUCGAAAGUUUAUGGAAACUUCAGUCUUUAGCUAUUUAACUUGCUUCCGUAACUUAAAUGCUUUAGUUUUUGGUUUAGUUGCUUGGUUUGGGUUGUAGUAGUGGUUCUCCCACUGAAGGGUUAGUGUGGGUGUCAAUCACGACGGUCUGAAUCGUGACACAUGUUCAAGCAUUUUUAUAUUUGAAAAUAUUUGACGGUAGAUAUCUCAUUUUAUACCUUAUGAGUAUUCCCUUUGUUCCAAAUUAGUAGUCAUUUUAGCUUAAAAAGCUUAUCACUUCAGAAAUUUAAGAUCGAAGUUGAUAAUAAUUCCAAUUAUAUUCUUAUAUUAGAGUAGUAAAAUAAUAAUCAAUACUGUUCAAUACAUAAAACAUUUACUAAUCAAUAGGGAACUUUACAUUAUAUUUAUUAUUCUCUUAAUAAAUAAUAUGAAAGAGCUAGUAAAAUGAGAUGAAGGAAAUGACUUUUAUUAUCAGACAAAUAUAAUGGCAUAUUUAAAUACGGAACCAUACUAUACCACACACAUUAUCACGGAGGGAUUACUAUACUCCCUUCGUUCAUUUGUACUUGUCCAUAUUUUAGAUAUCUAAAUAUUAAAAAACAUUUAAUAUCUAAUGUAAUAAAGAUAAGAACAACUUUCACAUAUAACAAACACAAAAAUCAUAUUUAUAUGUUAUAGCUAUAGUUUGCAUAAUUGCGCUCCAUAGCAAACACAAAAAUCAUAUUUGUAUGUUAUAGCUAUAGUUUGCAUAAUUGCGCUUCAUAGCAAACAUAAAUAUGUAUUUUUCGCUAUACAUAUACAAAAGAAAGCAGUUGUAUAAUAUGCUUUGGUAUACAUAUACAAAAGAUCAAUUGUAUAAUCUGUGUUUGUAUAAAGCGAGAAUGAAAGAAAGACAAAAGAAAACU